UCGUGGCAGAUGUGAUCUCCCUUCUCCUUGGUCUAUGUCGUCGGAGUGGCUGUGCUCGGGAGGAUCUGCUUAGGGCCCGAGGCGUGUCGGAGUUGCCUCUCCGAGUAGGUGAGAUUGGGCUCGAUCCGGGUUGUGCCCACGGGCGGGGAGGCCCCUCCCUCCGUGGGUGCGGUGGUCGUUGGUGGUGGUCGGGACUUCGGAGUCAAGGGCCAUGGAAAUGGCGUCGUGCGAGUGUGUUCGUCGACGGCAGUCGAGAGUCACUGGGGUGUGUCUCCCUCAGUCCACCAGGACUGGCUGGGGACGCGGGGCUGGGGGCCCCUACAGUGGUGGCACCGGCCUAACCUUCAUGACUCGUGUUGGGCUAGGAGUGAAAGGUGCGGCCUUCUACGGUUCCUACUGUGGCUGGUACUUUGCAAUGUGGGCGGUGGGUGAGGUGCCGGACAUGGAUGACGGGGCGACGGCUCCGAAUGGCGGUUCACAUGGUUGGCUCUCCGAUGGGCACCAUGGCAGCGGUGGUGGCUCCCAUCUUGGUCGUGCGGGCGAUGAGAGGGGUAGCGGUUGGUGGCUCGGGUGCGUCCUCUAUUGGACGUCGCUCAGGUCUGGAUCUGGGGUCUGGGCACGUCGAGUUUUCCCUGGGGCCUUGGUGACAUGGGUGGGGUGCCGAGCGAAUGCUCAGCGCUUUUGCAUGGGCAAGGACGACGCUUGCGGUCGCCAUUCUCUUCUUGAAGGCGUCGUCGCGAAUCUUCUCUCCGUGUCAGAGUUCCUGGUGAAGACCCUUGCCCGGUGGGGCUAGGCAGUGACGACGCUCUGCGCCGUUACCCUUCUUGGGGGCAUUGUCUAGGAGCUUAGAUGUCCUAGGGUGUUGCAUGGGAUUCUUUUCAGUUUCUCCCGUGUUCUCCUUCGGUAGCGUAGUUGCUUGUCUUCUUCGCGAUCCGGGUAGCCUAGGAUCUGCUUUGUAAGAGGACUACCUCACCAUCUUGUAUCUCGUUUGCUCAUGUAUUUUGUUUGGUUUGUAUCUUUAUUUAUAAAGAGGGGAGAAAGCCUGUUUCGAGGAACUUUAGUAGUGAAAGGCAUGUUUAAAGGGUUAAGUCGGGAUGCAAGAUUGAAAACUAGUACAAAUCUAGAGGCUAACACACAUCGUCGCGCUGUUUUUCACUCUAUGAUUAAUUAUUUUUUCUAUACCAAGUUUUUGGGGUUGGUUGUCCUGUUUUAGUUUUAUUUAUUUUGGCUGGAGUUUUAAUUAUGUUCUGGUGGUGUGCUUUUGUCAUUCGUAUAUUAAGUUGGACUACUGUUAAAGUUCAUAUCUAUUCUGAAUGAAGGGUCAAGUUGUUAGUUGUGUAGUUGUGGUGUCUUUAUAUAUUUCGGCCUCAAUGUUAGUCCGUGGUGGUUAUGUGGGCCCGUUUGAGAUCUCUCAUUCCACGUUGAAACUGUGGAAUUGUUGCAAUAACGCCAACAUGGGCUAGCCCAUGAAGCUAUCGCUCAUUCAGCUCGACUCCCUGCUUCGCUUGCCCAUUUAGUUUUUCUUUCACUCGCUCCACUGUUAGCUUAGAAAAAGUUGGCCAUCGUAAUUUUUAUUUGAGAAGUUCAUUAAAUAAAAAAAUCACGUACUUAAAAAUCUUGGGUUUUAAAAAUUGUUGCAUUAAAACAUGAAUUUUGGGAAAAUGUUCAUAGAUUUCAUACAAUGUUUAUGAAUUUUUAAAAGGUACACAAAUCAAAAAGUUCUCACAGACUUUAAAAACAUUCUGGUACUUCCUCCCUCCGUUCCAUAAUAUAAGAUGUUUUAUUGUGGGGAGGAGGGAGUAAUUUUAUAAAUAUUCACGAAUUUUAAAAAUGUUCAUCAAUUCUAAAAAAGGUCAUAAUGUUCAUGGAUUUAAAAAUUAUCUGAAUUAAAAUGUGGAAAAAAUAAUAAAGAAAAGAGAAGAAAAAAACAAAAACAAACACGGAAAAAGUAGGAAAAGACAAACAGAAAAACAACUAAAACCGAUGAAAACAUAAAAAAUGCGGUCAAUACCUUCUCAAAAUCGUAAAAAUCUCCGGACCCAGUGACACACACCCUUAUAGGCGGAACCCACAACGUCCCCAUAGCCCCUGACGCACCAAGAAACACCAAAUCUAGAGAGCUUAGUAUCUUAUUAAUAGAUGAACUAUACACCCCAAAAUGUUCUAGUGAGCCGCAACUUGCUCCCUUGAUGUAGAUGAAAUUGUAUAAGCGAAGUUUUUGUAUUUGCUUAGACUUAGAACGCGCAAGAAAAUAAGUUUUUGCUAUUUAGGAUUUCAUAUUCUUGUUACUAGAUAUUCUGUAGGAAUAAGAAGAAACCGCAACUACUUUGAGCUACACAUGAAAAUUGAUUUCAACGGUCCAUUUUUUAGGGCUACGAUCAUCGAAGAGCAACCCAUCAGAUCAAUGUCCCGCUACAACAGAUCAAUGCAACUAUAACACUAUUGAGAAGCUAAGAUUGGGAGGGGACAUCUUCUACUUUAACAUUCAAGACGCUGAAGACAGACCUAGAUUAGAUCUGAUUUAGACAUCUCGUCGAGAUCGGACACUAAACAUUCCGGUGAAUUAGUUUACAAAUUGUUGGGGGCCGAAUUAUACUCGUCGAAGAGUUGCUCCCAGAGCCAUUAGAAUGGGCAACAUGCAUCGUGGAGUUUCGGUUCCGGCGGGAUGGAUGGGGACAACCUAUUUCGCGCGUGGUGCGACACAAUAUGCCCAAACGCGCCCCUCCCCCCUCUCCUCCUGCACGCGAUUUUGGGCUGAGCCAUGUGCCGGCUAGGGUGCCCUGUUUUUUUGUUUAUCUUUUUGAAAAAGAAUCAGGAUUUCGAAAAAUAUUCUAUAUUUCAUAUAAUGUCCUAAAUUUUAAUGAAAGGUCGCAUAUUUUGAACAUGUUUAUAAAUUUGAAAAAAAAUCCGGUAUUUCGAGAACAUUUCAUAAAUCUGAUAAAUGUUUUGAUUUUCAAAAAGAAAAUCACGGAUUUAAAAAAUGUUCGUGAAACCUAAAACAUGUUUAGAAAUUUCAAAAAAUGUUCUCGUGUUUGGAAAAUGUUCGUGAAUUUCAAAAAAUGUUCGCUGAUACAUAAAAUGCUCGUUGAUAUAAAAAAAUGUUCGUGAAUUGCAAAGAAUGCUUAUCAAUUAAAAAUUUUUCAGACUAUUUUAAAUGUUCUAAAUUCAAAAGGUGUUUAAAAAUUUCAAAAGAUGCCCCAAAUUUAAAAAUGUUCAUCCGGUCAAAUAGGUUCACAUAUUCAAUAAAUAGUUCCCAAAGUUUUUUAAAAACAAUUUAGAAAAUACGGAUGAAUUUUAAAAAUUAUUCCCCAAUUUAAAAAAUAGUCAGAAUAUUUUAAAUCAAAUAAAAGAAAAAGGAAUAAAGGAAAUGGAAAAAGUGUGCAAAACCCCUAAAAGGACAAACACAUAAAGGAAAAAAAAACGUUCAAGAAAGCUUAUAAAACCUUUCUAUAACCGGUCCUGAGAAAGGCACGUGAAAUCCGAAUAUGGGCCGCCCCAUGGAGCGCUCCUUCGGAAGCCUCCCCAACGAUCACAUGCGGUGGCUUAAGAGCGCGCCCAGCCGCCACCACGUGUCGUGCUCUGAACGCUUCCUCUAGAUUUUAUUAUUUUUCAUUUUUCCACACGCGUUUUUGGCUUUUUAAGUGUUUUUUUUUGCUUUUUCAUCAGUCUUUCUUAGUUCCUCGACAAAAAAAACGAAAAAAAUUGCUCGAAAAAACACGCUUUUUCCCGUGAGAGGCAUGGUUUUGCUUCUGCGAGACUCGGAAACGGAAAAACGCAUUUUUUUGUUCCGUUAGAGGCACGGUUUUGCUUUGGAGAAACACGAUUUCUUUUUUUUUCUUCCGUCGGAGGCGCGGUUUUGCUUCCGCGAGAGGCACCGCCAUGCCUUUCACAUGUUUUUUCUUUCGUCAGAGGCAUGGUUUUGCUCCCGCGAGAGGCACGGCCAUGCCUCUCAAAAAGGAAAACAAAACACAUUUCCUUUUUGUUUUCUUUCGUGAGAGUCACGAUUUUGCUUUCGUGAGAUGCAUGAUUUUGCUUCCGCGAGAGGCACGGCCGUGCCUCUUGAAAACGAAGAAAAAAUGCGUUUUCUCUCUUUUUUUUCUUCCGUGAGAGGCACGGUUUUGCUUUCGUGAGAGGCAUGAUUUUAUUUCUGUGAGAGGCACGGCCGUGCGAGAGGCACAUUCGUGCCUCUCGAAAACGAAAAAACAUGUUUUCUAUUUUUUUCUUCCAACAGAGGCGUGGUUUUGCUUCCGCGAGAGGCACAGCUGCACCUUUCAAAAACGAAAAAAUGUGUUUUUUUUUCUUUCGUCAGAGGCACGGUUUUGCUCCCGCGAGAGGCACGACCAUGACUCUCGAAAAGGAAAAAACACAUUUUUUUCUUCCGCGAGAGUCAAGAUUUUGCUUUCGUGAGAUGCAUGAUUUUGCUUCCGCGAAAGGCACGGCCGUGCCUCUUAAAAACGAAGAAAAAACACGUUUUAUCUCUUUUUUUCUUUCAUGAGAGGCAUGGUUUUGAUUUCAUGAGAGGCAUGAUUUUGCUUCUGUGAGAGUCAUGGCCGUGCCUCUCAGGAUUUUUUUUGUGAAAAAAAGUUUAUCAAAACCUGUCAACAUGGGAUCUAGUUUUGAAAAUCUCGACGCGAGGAAUACAAUGGUGAAAACGGUUCAACAUUUGGAGGCACGGUUUAAAAGAUAAAACGUUUUCCAAGGAAUAUUGUGUCUUUGCUUUUUUCUUUUAUUUCAUUAUUCACUUCGGUUUAUUCCCUUUCUUGUUAUUUUCUUUUUUCUUCUCGUAUUCUUUUUGUUUUCCUUAGUGCACCUUUUUAAAAAAAUUGUAAAACCUUUUUCUUUAAAUUGAUGAAACUUUGUUUUCAAUUUCGAUGAACUUUUUUCAAAAUCAAUAAACUUUUUUCAAAAUCGAUGUACUUUAAAUUGAUGUCCUCAAUCUGGUUUCUGGCCACCAGGUAUUGAUGAUUUACGGAAUUAGGAAUGUCCGAAUGGGAUGGAACAUAAACAGGGAAAGCACAUGAAUUUAUUCGAACUAGUUCUAGUACAUGUGUGUCCGACUAGCCACAGGCAUGCACAAAUUAAUAAUGAAAUAAUGGAUAAAUAGGAAAAAAUGGCUCAACCCGGAGUGCGACCUGAGCGCACGCACCACGGAGGAAAUGGCAAAUGUUGGAUCCUGGGAGCUUGGGAGGCUGUAUGGUCGUAUGGACUAUGGAGGUACGUACUAGAGCGCGAUCGUGAACGACGAUGAGAGCCAGCAGCCAGCAAACAUCGUAGAUCAUUCAUUCGACCACUGCUCGGACAAUGCGAGCAGCUCUUCCAAGUAGUCUGCUCCCAGGUCCUCCAGCUCCAGCACGCUCGACGCAGCAGCAGCACCACCAGGUUGCUUCUUCAUGUCACCCUCCUGGCCCUUGCCCUUGGGAGUGCGCUUCCGCAUGCAGUGGCGCCUCUUGAGCGCCAGCACGGGCGAGUCGUCCUCCCCCGCGGCCGCGGCUUUGCCGAGCUUCAGCACGCGCAGCGACUCCCGGACUCGCUCCACCGGGAAAUUGAGCACGGCCGCGGGUCCGCGGGACGUGUAGGCCGCCUGGUCGUAGGUCAGCGCGGCGGCCUCCGGGGUGUCGAAGGUGCCCAGCCACACGCGCUCGCCGCCGCGCGUGGAGUCCCGGAUCUCCGCCGCGUACUUGCCCCACGGCCGCCUCCGCACGCCGAUCAGCUGCGGAGUCUCUGCCUUGGCCUUCUUUGCCUCCUGCUGCUCCGCCCAGGAUGGUGCAGCAGGUGAGAUAGACGUGGCCUCCAUGAGCGCGCUGAACUGGUCCAUGCCCAUGCCCAUGCCCAUGCCCAUAGCACUCGCGGCGCCAUCGUACUGAUAGCUGCUGCCGCCGAAAUUGAGGUACUGUGGGUGCUGCUCCUGCGCGUAAGGGGCAAUGUCGUCGGCGGCGGCGUAGGACGGAGCCGCAGAGGAGGAAGAGUUGGUGAUGUCGUACUGGUAGUAGUGGUUGUCGUAGGAGGACUGGGGCUGGGUAGAAGCAGACUGCUGGUAUUGGUAGCCAUAGGAGGGCUCGGAAGUGGCAUAGCUCAUGCCGUAGUAGCAUGGGUUGCCAUCAUUUGUAUAGGACCCAUUGUUGUCGUAGUAGCCGUACCCGUUGUGGUUAAGUUCCAUCACUUGAUACUCCUGGCUAGGCUAAUCUCUCCUGCUUAAUUAGACAAUUAAGCACUUCAGGUAGUACGGUACUAGCUAGAAAGCAACUAACGUAACGAAGCCCUUAUAUAGAGCGAUCGACUUGCCGCGAAUAAGAAAUAUAUUUUGAGUUUGACUUAACAUAAGAUAAAGUGGUCAAAUUAAGUAGGGGAGGGGUGCUCACCUCCACCAUCUACAGGAUUAACUCUAGAUCUCAGAGACAGAUUAUCACAAUCUACUAUCUUACUCUUCUUUUGCAUCCCACUCAAAAAAGGAGGGCGCCCGGAGGCAGAAAUAAAACUCGCCAACAGAGCUCUCAAAAUUGGGUAUUAACUGAGACAAACAACGGAUAAACUGUUUUUAAAGAGAAGGGAUAGGUAGACUGUCCUUUCAUUUUAUCUUUAUUUUCUACAGGGUAGGGAGAAGCCUUGCGCCUUUGUUUUGUGAAGGCAAGUGACUUCGCAAACGGAGCUCCCAAAGUCGGAGCUACUGAGGUGGGGCCCUUGCGGUGAUGAUGACACGAGACGGGUGGUUGGCGCUGGCGCUGGCUUGGUGCAAGCCCAACACUUUUCUCAUGCAAUGCUCGUCGACAGAGUCGGAGCUGCCUGGUCGCCGGUGCGUGUGGCUAACUAUUUGGCAUUGGCUGGCGCAAGGCUCGACAUUUGUUUGCGAUGAGGGCUUCUUCGGUGGUCGUUGAUGGUGAAGUCGGAGUCGCCCUCGCGGAGGCGUGAUGACGAUGACGCCGGGCUGCAACCUCGAUGACGCUUUUCUCCUCGGCGGCGUGUAUGCGUUCUUGUGCGGGUUGCCAGGUCGCUCUGUGUGCCUUGUUUUCGUGGGCCUGUUGUGACGGUUUUCGUCUGGUUUUCCAUUAAUUAACCGGGUAAUUCUUUUAGAUAAUUUUUAAUGAAUCGAGUCCCAAGAAACCGUGUUUAAAAAAAUUGCCCUGCUAAUGAAUAAAAAAGGGUUGGGUACGCUCCUCUACAGUAUCUAGGGUAUAUUCGUAUUCUUGUAUCCAAGCUUGGAUUCUCUCCAUGUCUCUCUAACUGGUUCUUUUCCAUGGCGUCACCAGCGAAGCAGUGUAAAGCACACGGUACGGAAGAAUCUACUGCUCACUUGCGCUGGGAGGUUCGGCGGCUGCUGCAGUAGCUAGGUACAUGUUGGACAGAUGUGCAGGUUAUGUGUUCCCCAACAUUGGCCAGACAAAGCAACAAUAUGAUCAUAGUAUAGGUCAGCGACGCUUCCCGGAAGCAGUCAAGGGCCGGAGACAGCAUGCAAGCACAUGAAGCGGCUGUGGCUGCUAAAGUGCAGAUCGAUCACCAAGAUAAAUCGUUACUGUAUACGGUACAUACAUACAUUUCAGUAUGUCUGAGGAUACAUCUGUACAUGUGUGGAGUAUCUUCACUAGAUUUUCUGUGAAAAGUCCAAACCACGCCGCCGCCUCCUCACGUGCCCCGCUUCCCACGUCCAACCCCUACGGCCGUACCUACACAAACUUCCACAUCACAUUAUAUUCCAGUCAACCUGUAAAACCAGUAUAAUGGCACCUCCAACGCCGACCCGCAAACCUCCCGCAACCGUUCGGGUUGGCUGUCCGGACCGUGGAAGCCAUCCAACGCGGUCAUGUAUCGAUCCGUGACGUGGUCCGGAUGUGUUUUCUCCCGCAAACCGAAGACAAACAUGGAGAGGCUUUGCGGGAGUCUGGAUACGCGAAACGUCGCUCUCUACCCCCUGGCCCACCAAAAGGAAGAUGGAGCCCGCGCUUUUGUAGCAUCCCGCACUGUUUUCGCACCAAAAUCCCCCACUCUCUUCUUCCAUUCCCCGCCGCUCUCCGCCCAAUUCCCACUCUUUUCUCCCACCCUCUCCUUCCUUCCGCCGCCGACGCAUGGAACUGUCGGAGAACCUGUCGGAGAUGAAGCCAGCGGAGGUGCCGGAGGAUCCGAGCAUCACGCUCGCUCGGAAGAUCAGCUCAGCGACGCGGCAAACUCACCAUGCCAAAGCGAAGGCUGCAAAGGAGGAGAAGCUCAAGAAGUGGUUGGCCGCCGGUGGGCCUGGUGGUGGCAAUGGGCGGCGAGGUCGUGGCGGACGAGCUGGUCGGCGCGGCCGUGGCACACGCCGCCAAACGUGCGCGCCCACAUACAGACGGCGCCAUGGUCGGAGCCUUACAAGCCUUCAUAAUACUACACUGCCAAGCAGCUCAGAACCCCCGCCGGUACGGUGCCUUACAUCGUCAACGUUAACGCGGCGCCGCACUUCUCUGAGUAUUCUUCGCCGCAACUUGUCUGGGCGCGGACGGCGGUUGGGGAGCAGAUGGGUGCCCACACAUUGUUCGCUGCAAUGCCUAGUGCUGGGGAGCCGGCGUACGACGCGGACAGGGAGAUGCUCGACAUCAUCCACGACGGAGCCGAGAGAGGAGGAGGGGUCUAUGAGGACGGGUAGAUGGAAGACUCGAAUCCCACCCAGUCCGGCAACUACCAGGAGUAGCAGUCGUACGCCCAGACGGCCACGCAGCAGCCCUACACCCAGACCGGCGAUGGCACACAACAACGGUAGCAUUGGGCCGCCAGAGAGCAGCAGACGGAUGGAGAGGAGGAGGACGGCGACGAAGAUGAUACGGAUGAUACAGCCGAUGAUCUGAAGAAGAAGAAGAAGGGAAGAGGAGAAAGCUUUAACAUGCGGGAGGACGAGUUGUUGUGCGAUGCAUGGUUAGCCACCAGCAUUGAUCCAAUCCAUGGCAGGGAGCAAAAUGGCACAACCUUUUGGAGGAACAUUUACAUAUGGUCCCAUGAACACAAGCAUUUCGCGCCCUACUCCGAGGCGGUUAUCCGCAACCAUGAAUGGAAGUCCCUUAACCAUCGAUGGUAUACCAUCCAAGAGGCCGUGUCCAAGUAUUGCGGACACUUGAAGCAUCUCAUCACAUGGUGGCCUAGCGGUCCACAAAUCACUAAGUAAGUAAGUAUCUCACUAGCCGGAUAUGCUUUUGUUUUGUUGAUCACUACCCGGAUAUGCUUUAGUGUUGUUGAUCACUAACCGGACAUGUAUUGUUUUGUUGCUCACUUUGCCGACAUUGUUUCACUUUGGAGCCUACUCGUGCUUGUGUGGUGUACAAGAAGUUGGAGAAGAUGUCCUUCACCGUCAUGCAUUGUUGGUUGAAGUUGAAUGGGCAACAGAAGUGGAACCUUUUCAAUGCCAAGACCAUUGCCCAAGCCAACGAGCAAGAAAUUGUUGACUCUACCGACCCAACCCAAGAACCGCCGAAAAAGAUGAUAAAAGAAUUACGAGGGAAGAAGUUGGAGGAGGAGAGGGCGAAGCGAGAAGGUUGUUGGGGAACGUAGGAAUUUCAAAAAAAUUCCUACGCACACACAAGAUCAUGGUGAUGCAUAGCAACGAGAGGGGAGAGUGUGUCCACGUACCCUCGUAGGCCGAAAGCGGAAGCGUUAGCACAACGCAGUUGAUGUAGUCGUACGUCUUCACGAUCCGACCGAUCAAGUACCGAACGCACGGCACCUCUGAGUUCAGCACACGUUCAGCUCGAUGACGUCCCUCGAACUCCGAUCCAGCCGAGCUUUGAGGGAGAGUUCCGUCAGCGCGAUGGCGUGGUGAUGAUGAUGAUGUUCUACCGACGCAGGGCUUCGCCUAAGCACCGCUACGAUAUUAUCGAGGUGGAUUAUGGUGGAGGGGGGCACCGCACACGGCUAAGAGAUCAAGAGAUCAAUUGUUUUGUCUAUGCGGUGCCCCCCUCCUCCGUAUAUAAAGGGGGGAGGAGGAGAGGGCCGGCCAAGGGGGUGGCGCGCCCUAGGAGGGGGAAACCUACUCCAAGUAGGUUUGCCCCUCCCUUUCCUAGUCCAAGAAGGAGGGGAAGGAAGGAGUGGGAGAGGGGAAAGGCAAGGGGGGCGCCGCCCCCCUUUCCUUGUCCUAUUCGGACUCAAGGGGAGGAGGUGCGCCUCUUGCCCUGGCCGGCCUCUCUCUCUCCACUAGGGCCCAACAAGGCCCAUUAGUUCCGGCGGGGGGUUCCGGUAACCCCCGGUACUCCGAUAAAUGUCCGAAACCUUCCGGAACCUUUCCGGUGUCCAAACAUAGUCGUGCAAUAUAUCGAUCUUUACGUCUCGACCAUUUCGAGACUCCUCGUCAUGUCCUUGAUCACAUCCGGGACUCCUAACAACCUUCGGUACAUCAAAACACAUAAACUCAUAAUAUAACCGUCAUCGAACUUUAAGCGUGCGGAUCCUACGGGUUCGAGAACUAUGUAGACAUGAUCGAGACACGUCUCCGGACAAUAACCAAUAGCGGAACCUGGAUGCUCAUAUUGGCUCCCACAUAUUCUACGAAGAUCUUUAUCGGUCAAAACGCAUAACAACAUACGUUGUUCCCUUUGUCAUCGAUAUGUUACUUGCCCGAGAUUCGAUCGUCGGUAUCUCAAUACCUAGUUCAAUCUCGUUACCGGAAAGUCUCUUUACUCGUUCCGUAAUACAUCAUCCCGCAACUAACUCAUUAGUUGCAAUGCUUGCAAGGCUUAUAGUGAUGUGCAUUACCGAGUGGGCCCAGAGAUACCUCUCCGACAAUCGGAGUGACAAAUCCUAAUCUCAAAAUACGCCAACCCAACAAGUACCUUUGGAGACACCUGUAGAGCACCUUUAUAAUCACCCAGUUACGUUGUGACGUUUGGUAGCACACAAAGUGUUCCUCCAGUAAACGGGAGUUGCAUAAUCUCAUAGUCAUAGGAACAUGUAUAAGUCAUAAAAAAACAAUAGCAGAAUACUAAACGAUCGAGUGCUAAGCUAACGGAAUGGGUCGAGUCAAUCACAUCAUUCUCCUAAUGAUGUGAUCCCGUUAAUCAAAUGACAACUCAUGUCAAUGGCUAGGAAACAUAACCAUCUUUGAUCAACGAGCUAGUCAAGUAGAGGCAUACUAGUGACACUAUGUUUGUCUAUGUAUUCACACAAGUAUUAUGUUUCCGGUUAAUACAAUUCUAGCAUGAAUAAUAAACAUUUAUCAUGAUAUAUGGAAAUAAAUAAUAACUUUAUUAUUGCCUCUAGGGCAUAUUUCCUUGAAGAUAGACAUCCCUCUAAUCAUCUAAGUGAUCACGUGAUCCAAAUCAACUAAACCAUAACCGAUCAUCACGUGAAAUGGAGUAGUUUUCAAUGGUGAACAUCACUAUGUUGAUCAUAUCUACUAUAUGAUUCACGCUCGACCUUUCGGGCUCAGUGUUCCGAGGCCAUAUCUGCAUAUGCUAGGCUCAUCAAGUUUAACCUGAGUAUUCUGCGUGUGCAAAAACUGGCUUGCACCCGUUGUAGAUGGACGUAGAGCUUAUCACACCCGAUCAUCACGUGGUGUCUGGACACGACGAACUUUGGCAACGGUGCAUACUCAGGGAGAACACUUUUAUCUUGAAAUUUAGUGAGAGAUCAUCUUAUAAUGCUACCGUCAAUCAAAGCAAGAUAAGAUGCAUAAAAGAUAAACAUCACAUGCAAUCAAUAUAAGUGAUAUGAUAUGGCCAUCAUCAUCUUGUGCUUGUGAUCUCCAUCUCCGAAGCACUGUCAUGAUCACCAUCGUCACCAGCGCGACGCCUUGAUCUCCAUCGUAGCAUCGUUGUCGUCUCGCCAACUUAUGCUUCUACGACUAUUGCUACCGCUUAGUGAUAAAGUAAAGCAUUACAGGGCGAUUGCAUUGCAUACAAUAAAGCGACAACCAUAUGGCUCCUGCCAGUUGCCGAUAACUCGGUUACAAAACAUGAUCAUCUCAUACAAUAAAAUAUAGCAUCAUGCCUUGACCAUAUCACAUCACAACAUGCCCUGCAAAAACAAGUUAGACGUCCUCUACUUUGUUGUUGCAGGUUUUACGUGGUUGCUACGGGCUGAGCAAGAACCGUUCUUACCUACGCAUCAAAACCACAACGAUAGUUCGUCAAGUUAGUGUUGUUUUAACCUUCUCAAGGACCGGGUGUAGCCACCCUCGGUUCAACUAAAGUUGGAGAAACUGACACCCGCCAGCCACCUGUGUGCAAAGCAUGUCGGUAGAACCAGUCUCGCGUAAGAGUACGCGUAAUGUCGGUCCGGGCCGCUUCAUCCAACAAUACCGCCGAACCAAAGUGUGACAUGCUGGUAAGCAGUAUGACUUGUAUCGCCCACAACUCACUUGUGUUCUACUCGUGCAUAUAACAUCAACGCAUAAAACCAGGCUCUGAUACCACUGUUGGGGAACGUAGUAAUUUCAAAAAAAAUCCUACGCACACGCAAGAUCAUGGUGAUGCAUAACAACGAGAGGGGAGAGUGUGUCCACGUACCCUCGUAGACCGAAAGCGGAAGCGUUAGCACAACGCGGUUGAUGUUGUCGUACAUCUUCACGAUCCGACCGAUCAAGUACCGGACGCACGGCACCUCCGAGUUUAGCUCGAUGACGUCCCUCGAACUCCGAUCCAGCCGAUCUUUGAGGGAGAGUUCCGUCAGCAGGACGGCGUGGUGACGAUGAUGAUGUUCUACAGACGCAGGGCUUCGCCUUAGCACCGCUACGAUAUGAUCGAGGUGGAUUAUGGUGGAGGGGGGCACCGCACACGGCUAAGAGAUCCAAGGGACCAAUUGUUGUGUCUCUAGGGGGUGCCUCCCUCCCCGUAUAUAAAGGAGUGGAGGAGGGGGAGGGGGCCGGCCACCCUUGGCGCUUCCCAUGAGGAGUCCUACUCCCACCGGGAGUAGGACUCCCCCCUUCCAUGUUGGAGUAGGAGAGGAGAGGAAAGGAGAGAGAGGGAGAAAGGAAAGUGGGGGCGCCCCCCCCCCCCCCUCCUUGUCCAAUUCGGACUAGGGGGUAGGGGCGCGCGGCUGCCCCUUGGCCGCCUCUCCUCUUCCACCACUUGGGCCCAUGAGGCCCAAUAACCUUCGGGGGGUUCCGGUAACCCCCCGGUACUCCGGUAUAUAUCCGAUAACCCCCGGAACCAUUCCUGUGUCCGAAUAUAGUCGUCCAAUAUNNNNNNNNNNNNNNNNNNNNNNNNNNNNNNNNNNNNNNNNNNNNNNNNNNNNNNNNNNNNNNNNNNNNNNNNNNNNNNNNNNNNNNNNNNNNNNNNNNNNNNNNNNNNNNNNNNNNNNNNNNNNNNNNNNNNNNNNNNNNNNNNNNNNNNNNNNNNNNNNNNNNNNNNNNNNNNNNNNNNNNNNNNNNNNNNNNNNNNNNNNNNNNNNNNNNNNNNNNNNNNNNNNNNNNNNNNNNNNNNNNNNNNNNNNNNNNNNNNNNNNNNNNNNNNNNNNNNNNNNNNNNNNNNNNNNNNNNNNNNNNNNNNNNNNNNNNNNNNNNNNNNNNNNNNNNNNNNNNNNNNNNNNNNNNNNNNNNNNNNNNNNNNNNNNNNNNNNNNNNNNNNNNNNNNNNNNNNNNNNNNNNNNNNNNNNNNNNNNNNNNNNNNNNNNNNNNNNNNNNNNNNNNNNNNNNNNNNNNNNNNNNNNNNNNNNNNNNNNNNNNNNNNNNNNNNNNCCCUCCCCGUAUAUAAAGGAGUGGAGGAGGGGGAGGGGGCCGGCCACCCUUGGCGCUUCCCAUGAGGAGUCCUACUCCCACCGGGAGUAGGACUCCCCCCUUCCAUGUUGGAGUAGGAGAGGAGAGGAAAGGAGAGAGAGGGAGAAAGGAAAGUGGGGGCGCCCCCCCCCCCCCCCCCUUGUCCAAUUCGGACUAGGGGGUAGGGGCGCGCGGCUGCCCCUUGGCCGCCUCUCCUCUUCCACCACUUGGGCCCAUGAGGCCCAAUAACCUUCGGGGGGUUCCGGUAACCCCCCGGUACUCCGGUAUAUAUCCGAUAACCCCCGGAACCAUUCCUGUGUCCGAAUAUAGUCGUCCAAUAUAUCAAUCUUCAUGUCUCGACCAUUUCGAGACUCCUCGUCAUGUCCGUGAUCACAUCCGGGACUCCGAACUACCUUCGGUACAACAAACACAUAAACUCAUAAUAUAACCGUCAUCGAACUUUAAGCGUGCGGACCCUACGGGUUCGAGAACUACGUAGACAUGACCGAGACACGUCUCCGGUCAAUAACCAAUAGCGGAACCUGGAUGCUCAUAUUGGCUCCCACAUAUUCUACGAAGAUCUUUAUCGGUCAAACCGCAUAACAACAUACGUUGUUCCCUUUGUCAUCGGUAUGUUACUUGCCCGAGAUUCGAUCGUCGGUAUCUCAAUACCUAGUUCAAUCUCGUUACCAGCAAGUCUCUUUACUCGUUCCGUAAUACAUCAUCCCGCAACUAACUCAUUAGUUGCAAUGCUUGCAAGGCUUAAGUGAUGUGCAUUACUGAGUGGGCCCAGAGAUACCUCUCCGACAAUCGGAGUGACAAAUCCUACUCUCGAAAUACGCCAACCCAACAAGUACCUUCGGAGACACCUGUAGAGCACCUUUAUAAUCACCCAGUUACGUUGUGACGUUUGGUAGCACACAAAGUGUUCCUCCGGUAAACGGGAGUUGCAUAAUCUCAUAGUCAUAGGAACAUGUAUAAGUCAUGAAGAAAGCAAUAGCAACAUACUAAACGAUCAAGUGCUAAGCUAACGGAAUGGGUCAAGUCAAUCACAUCAUUCUCCUAAUGAUGUGAUCCCGUUAAUCAAAUGACAACUCUUUGUCUAUGGCUAGGAAACAUAACCAUCUUUGAUUGACGAGCUAGUCAAGUAGAGACAUAUUAGUGACAUUAUGUUUUUCUAUGUAUUCACACAUGUAUCAUGUUUCGGUUAAUACAAUUCUAGCAUGAAUAAUAAACAUUUAUCAUGAUAUAAGGAAAUAAAUAAUAACUUUAUUAUUGCCUCUAGGGCAUAUUUCCUUCAAACGUGUGGCGGCCAAGAUGACAGAGAGGUUCGAGGACAUCUUGGCGAGAAGGAGGAGGCAUGCAUGAGGCGCUCGGACAUCAAGGAGAAGAAGAAGGCAUAGAGGUUUAAACUGUUGAUGGAGACGACAGACAAGAAGCUCAAUCUCAAAGAGAGGAGGACCAUGACCGAAGAGAGGAAGGUCGCGUUCAAGGAAAACAGGGUGAAGAUGACCGCCAAUGCAGAAGACGCCUAGAUGUUGACCUUGAAUAUCGACUCUUUGGAUGCCGAUGCAAAAAUGAUCGUGCAAUCCGUCCGCUACCAGAUGUUGCAGCGGCAGAAAGAUGAGUUGGCGGCGGCGGACUAUGAGUACACGGCGGAGGCGGACGCGGAAGCGAAGGCGGAGGUUGCCUACACGGCGGCGAUGGCACCUCCUUAAUCGGGGAGCACACGACUGGGAUUGCCGGUCAUGUAGGGCAGAAAUGCACGGUCUGCAGGACUGGUGUUCUUUAGGAUUCAGACAUGUAAAAGCUAAGAAAAUUCGCUUCUUUUUGGUUGCGAUCGGACAUGCGAUCUGGCGCUGGUGUGACCGACGCGUUGUAUGAAUCAGAGUACAUUUGAAUUUUAAUUUACUGACGUAUACAUAUAGGAUAGCGUUGGAUGGCGGCCUCCCGCACCCGUGUCUGCGGACUGGUCCCCUGUACAUGGACGGAUGCGGGAGAAAAUUUACGGGUUGUCGUUGGAGAUGCCUUAACCCCGUAUAUGUAGUGUCGUGGAUUUGUCACGGCAGAUGUCCUAGUUUGAGGACUUAGUCGUGAGGCCAACGCAACUAGGUAGUAGCUUGAGAGGGGUUGAUCGGGACGAGAGAUGUGUGUAGAUCGUCGAAGCGGAUUAGCACACGAGACAAGAUUUAGACAGCUUCGGGCCCCGGGGAAACAUCAUCCGGUAAUAACCCUACAUGUUGUUUAUGGCUAGGUCUUAUUCAGUAUGCUCAUGAGGGAGUUGAUGUAUAAGCCGGCUCUCCUCUUGUUGUAUCUAGCCCUCAAGAUUCUUUCGCUCCUCUUGGGGUGCCCUGGCCCUCCUUAUAUAAGUUGGAGGGGCGGGUUACUUGUGGAGUCCCAAUAGGAUUAGGACUAGUCUAUCUUCUAAUACAAGCCGGGUACAAGUCCGGAUCUUGAUUCCUUGUAAGGGAAAAUAUCCCUCACGCCUUUCGUCUUAAGCCGGCCCACCAUCACAUGAACCGGCCUACUGGGCCUUGGGCCUUAUCGUCCGUCUGACCCGCCCACCGGGUCACCAGUGAGUCGCAAUGUUCAGGCGGAUUGCCCAUAAACCGCCAGGUCCAAGCGGGUCGCCAAGUUCCAGCCGGGUCAUACAUCCGGCGGGUUACACCGUGGGGUAUAUCCCCGACAUUAGCCCCCAGUUUAGCUUGGCUUUAUCAAUGGUAAACUUAUACUGCAAAAUAAACACAAGAACAAAUUUGACAGAUUGUGCUCCGGGUUAAAAGUUUUCUUGAACCGGCACCUGAUCAUUCUUAAGUCCUUGUCAUUUCCUUCUUGAUACGUGUCCAUGACUUAUAGCAAAUCUCCUUUAGCAGAUAUGUUCAAACUUUGCCAAUGCAAAAAAUUUGGGCACUUCUUCUGAAAAGUCCGGGUCAAUAGGCUAGUUUCAUAGUCACUUUGUUGACAUUGGCUUCUUGCAGAAAAAUAUUAUGAAGAAUAAUUCAUUUGAUUCAGCUCCCAAUGCUUAACAAAAAUAUUGGUCUUGAAAUACUCAUCUGAUUUUCAGCCGGCUUGAAGAUGUAGAACUUACCGGUUUGUAAAUAUUGAUGGCACCGGGUCAUAUCAAGCUUGAAAAUGUACCUCCCUUAUAUGCAUGUCACUUUAAGCCCCCAAGUCUUAAGAAGGGAGCAUAGUAACAGCUUAAGACUUGCUUCAAUAUAAAUGUCGCAACCUUGAAGAAAUCCGGUUUGUUCAUCUCAGUCACUAGUCAUAAACUGAAUAUUCCACAUAUGUAGCCCCCAAGUGCCGGGUUGUCAUGCUUGCAGCAACCUCGCACUUGUAACUGCCUUAUGUUCAUAAAAACUUCAACCAGUGUAGCCCCCAAGGGCCGGGUCAUUAUACAAUAAUGAGCAGGGACUUUGUAGAUAUGAUCAUGUAGAUUUGAGCAGUAAAUAAUAACACCAAAUGAUGUAGCUCCCAAGUUUCGGGUUACCUUUGACAGGAGCAAUUAGUAGCCCCCAAGGGCCGGCUUAUUACGAUGUGAUGAGUCGGGUCUUCAAUAAGGCGAGUUAAAAAUGACCUUGCAUUAGCCCCCAAGUGUCAUGGUGCAUUCUUGCAGCGACAUGGGACUUGCAUCCUUGAUAUAAUCAUGAUUUGAAUAAUGUAGCCCCCAAGUGCCGGUUCGUAAGCCUACAGCGACUCGGGACUAUUACUUCCAUUGUAAAAUAAAACCAUAUCCACUGUUCAGAUGACUUUGCUGAAAGCCUUGCAUAUUCAAUAUUGAACCGUGCUCUCUGUUGUGAGCCGGUAUUCUUGGAUAAAGAAAUAAUAGCCAUUGCUUUAAAGCGGCUUUGAAAAGCUCAAUCAUAAUACUGAUUAUUGACAACCAUAAUAAAAAUCCAGCCAUGUUGGCUAUUAAAGAUUUGAAUAAUAUAUUCCGGUAUGAAAAACCUCAAUCAUAAGAUCUUCUGUGUUGACAAGUAAAUCCGGAGUUUAAUACCCGGUGGCUCUUGGCCGAUAGCGACUUAAUGCGCAUCCAUUGUACUCCGGGAUGCAAUUACCCGGCGUCUUAUAGCCUUUGUAAAAAUUAAGAAUUGAUAACCCCAUCCAUGGCGGCUCAUAAUCAUGUCCAGUUUUUGACAAGAUCACUUUCGCGGCUCAUAGCCUCAAUAAACUCAAUAUUGAACAAUAUAACCCGGAGCUGGAUAACCCGAAAAUAUCUUCAGAUGGCCAGAUGAUGGGUUUAAACGCAAUGAUUCAUAUGAGCAAUAGCAGUAUUCUUAUGUGUAAAGCUCUGCAUGUCCUACACAAAGUUUAAACAACAUAUGCCCUGGCGAUUUAACGUCAAAAGCCAGGGUGGGCAACAACCCAAACAUAAUAUAGUCUCAUGCAAUUAUAGAAAAAACUAGAAUUAAGGCCAUUCAAGCCUAAGCAUAUUGGCGACUUAAAGUCAAAAGCCAGGGCAGGUUAUCAAACCUCGCAUAUUUAUAUAACCAGGAAAACAUACCUGUAGGAUUGAUUUAUACUGCUGGCUUACAUUGCCAUACCCAGUGAGGGUAACAAUCCAAUGAUUUAUAGGAGCAUGAUUCCAUUGCGCAAUCCAAAAUAUACUGGCGACAUAAUGUCCAAAGCCAGGGCGGGGUAUCAAACCUCGCAUAUUCAUCCAACAAUUUAAAAAUAUACCUAGAAAAUUGGCUCAAAUUGCCGGCUUACAUCGCCACAUCCAGUGAGGGUGACAACCCAAGUAUUCAUAAGCGCAUAAUCCCAAUUUGCACAAUCCAAAGUACACUGGCGACUUAAAGUCCAUAGCUAGGGCGGUUUACCAAACCCAACAUAUUCAUACCAUUAUUGAAAGACAUGCCUUUAGAUUAAUACCAUGGUGAUGCCUUGAUAAUUAUAAUCCGGGGCCAGUAUCAACCUGGAGUCAUGAAAUAUCAUCAUUUUGAUUGCUCAAGGCAAAAUAUCCUGGCGACUUAAAGUCUGCUAUCAGGGCGGGUUAUCAAACCCAAAGAUGCUCAAUGAUGAGCCAUAUAAUCAAGGCUACAUGGCCUGUGAAAUCAGUUCAUACUGCCGGCUUACAACGCCAUAUGCAGCUAGGGUAACAUCCCAAAUACUUAGAGUGAAAAUCUCCAAGCACAUAAUCAAAGCACACCGGCGACUUAUCGUCCAAAGCCAGGCCGGGUUACCAAAACUCCGGAUAUACUCAAAUAUGAGUCAUGAGGACUAAGGCUACAUAGCCUGAAUCAUUCUAAACCAUAUGUCAAUAUGGUAUAAGAAUAUGAACCAAAACAAUGUUCAUAGAAAAUAGCAAGUCAGAAAAAAAAACAAGGCUUUCAUAGGCUGCCAAACCUCAAUAUCAAGUGCUAUUCAAGGGCCGCACAACCACUGAGUUAAUCCUUUAUUCAAACCUGUACGCCGGGCCUCACAUGACCAUCGUCGUUUUAACUUUGACAAGUUCAGGGUCUUUAUAAGAUUGACUGUCAAGAGUACGGCGAGUCAUUCCAGGAUUACCUGGCCGGAGUGGCAAGCAUACAAAGGCAAGAUAAUCCGGAUUUUUGGUGAAUACACCUGGCGUCCAAGCCUAUUACAAGGGACAAACAAAGCUUUGUUCCAUUAAACAAGAAGCCCCCAAGUAAUUUUUCAAUCCAGGCGUAUAAGCCGGACCAAUAAGGUAGUCAUAGCUAUGCUCAAUGAGCAGGAAGCCCCCAAGUAAUUUGCAAUUAAGGUAGACAAGCCAGAUCAGUAGGGUAGUCAUAGCUAUGCUCAAUGAGCAGGAAGCCCCCAAGUAAUUUUUAACAAGCCAUCAAGGUAGGUUACCUAUGUUUGAACGGCACAUUAUAGCAAGUUCUCUUUGGUAACAAUUCAACUUGGGUAGAAAACCCCCAAGUUAUUUGCAAUCAAGGCAUGCAAGCCGGAUCAAGAGGGUAAGCAUAGCUACGCUCAUUAAGCAGGAAGCCCCCAAGUGAUCAUAAUAUGAUAAGCCAAUAAGGCAGGAUGCCUAUGUUUGAACCACGCAUCAUGGCAACAAGUUCUCUUUGGCAAUUUUUAAUUUUUCCUGAGAACCCGAACUUGCGAGAGAUGGAUUCUUUUUGAACCGGAAUUUUAAACCAGAUAUUGAGAGCUUCAAAGCUUUGUGUGAAACAGAUUUCCCUUGAGCUGGAUUUUGAACCAGAAUCCUUCAUUUUAAGCCGGAAAUUUUCUGACGGCCUUUAAAUUUUCAUCAAUAUGGUAGCAGCCUCUGGGACCGGGUUAUCUUCCCUCCAAUGACCCGGGCUUCUUGAAUUUGCUGGAACUGGCAAGAUUUGCUGAGUCAUGUCAUUGUAGCCCCCGAGUCUUAAGACGACUCGAGGAGUUGUCUUGACAUUCUCCAUAUUUAACCGUGAUAUAAAUCGGCAUUUGUCAUUCAACAACUCAGUGAUAUAAUAGUCCCUUUUGUAGUAGACAACUUGUCCUGCAUGGGAGAACUUGCAAGCCAGAGUAAUUGCUCUUUUAAAGAAAACAAUAUGUAAUAUAAAAACAUACUGGAUGGAUUUCACCUGAUAUGUCAGGCCAGAAAUUAUCCACCGCGGAGUUGAUGAUCACCAUGGUGAAGCUGAAAUCAAUCACGGCCGAGUUGGCCGUGGGAGCAGACAGGUGAGCUAGCCACGGCGUUGUAAGCCAGCGCGGACGGGCGAGUCAAUCGCAGGCGCGGUUAAGCCAUGCAAACGGCGACUCAAUCGCGGGCGCGGUUUCCGGCGAGUUCAUGUGGAUUGAGCUGCACGGACGGCGGCUUGCGCACACCCGUUCAACAGAAAGCGGACGCGGACGCCGGUGCAUGAUGAUGUUAAUGCAUACUCCAUAGGCAUAGCAUGGCAUCACCUUUAUAAUGAAUUAUUGUCCUACGUAUAAAAAUAUACAGAUAAAGUAAUUGUUCUUUUACAAAAAACAAUAUAUAUAUACUAAAAAUAGACUUAGAUGGAUAUCACCUGAUGCAUCUGAACGCGAGAUGAUCUUCACGUGCUCCAAAAAUUAACGUGGAUAUAUAGAGGCCCGGCAGUGGCGUGGACGCGCAUGCCAUGACCCACCUCCUCUUUUUUGACAUAAGCAAACCCUUGUUUCAAGGUAUUUUCAGUGACAUUGGGGUCAAAACCAUCAAAUAUAGUGGGUUGUUCAAACUGGGCUCCUGGCGUAUUUGUACUUGGAGUUGGUACUCUCUCCUGAAUCCACGUUGUCUUUCUCUUUGCAAAGUUCACAAUCCCAUAAUCUUUUGAACACAAUGUCAUCUUGUCAGUCAUGAUUUUUUCUCCCUUCACUGAAAGGUAAUUGACCCUGAAUGUUUCCUGUAGCAUGUAGUCUACAAUAUCAGCUUGCAACUCCUCAAUAAAGAUUGUAUUAGUCUGUGGUAUUAUCACACUCUUCACCAGCACUGGCCUAGUUAGGUCUGCACACCAGCUCAACAUUUGGCAUCCUUUGUCCAUUGACUGUCUGAAGAAAACCGCUCAGCAGCUGUAUGGCUAGCAAACUCGACAAAACCAUAACCCUGAAGCUAUCCAUUGUACUUGUUUCGGGUAAACUGAACAGAUUGGACCUCCCCAGUAUUGGUGAAGUAGCAGCAGAUUUAGAACACAACGUCUUCAAAUCGUGCGGAGCAGUAGCGGCGACUCAGGAGACAGGCACGCGGGCAGCUGUGGUGCGACGGACCUAGCGGGAGGCCAGUGCACGGGUGCUGGGUUGGAACCGGAGGCAUGUGAUGUGGCGGCGACUUGGCCUGGCCGCAGCGAAGUUGGUCCGCAGCAAGGUGGCUCCACAGCGGAGGCGCGCCGGCGGAGGCUAUCGACUCACCGCGAGGUCCGUGUGAGGGCAGCUCACACCAAAAGGUGGAAUGGCAACUCAGUAGGCGAGCGGUCCGGUCGGUUCAAUGGACGGUGACUCAGGACAGGGACCACGGCAGCAACUUGGCUCAGCGCGGGGACCUUUCAACCGAGUGAGGAAACGAUGGAGCUCCGGCGCGAGCGGACAAGAGGCCGCUGAAGGGCGGUCCGGCUUGAAGUCACGUCGAAGAUGAUUGCAAGUUUGUGCGCUAGCCGUCUUUGAUUGUUGCAACUAGGGGUAUCUGAAGACGGUAACCGCAACAGGUCACCGUUGGUUCCCCUCAGAUGAAUAGCAGCAGCAACCGGCUAAAUAUUCAUGACUUGCUGCAACGCCGGCCUGUUCACGUCUGGACUUGAGCAUUGAGAAUUAAUUUUGAUCUCUGAUGAUUUUGCCAACAGAAUAUUCUUCAUCUGGAAAUUUGUGAACUUCUCGAAACCCUGGGAAAGAUCCCUCCAAGAACUCAACACCACCAUGUGCAAGCCCCGCUGUGGGCGCCAACUGUCGUGGAUUUGUCACGGCAGAUGUCCUAGUGUGAGGACUUAGUCUUGAGGCCAACGCAACUAGGUAGUAGCUUGAGAGGGGUUGAUCGGGACGAGAGAUGUGUGUAGAUCGUCGAAGCGGAUUAGCACAUGAGACAAGAUUUAGACAGCUUCGGGCCCCGGGAAACAUCAUUCGAUAAUAACCCUACAUGCUGUUUGUGGCUAGGUCUUAUUCAAUAUGCUCAUGAGGGAGUUGCUGUAUAAGAUGGCUCUCCUCUUGUUGUAUCUAGCCCUCAAAAUUCUUUCGCCCCUCUUGGGUGCCCUGUCCCUCCUUAUAUAAGUUGGAGGGGCGGGUUACAUGUGGAGUCCCAAUAGGAUUAGGACUAGUCUAUCUUCUAAUACAAGCCGGGUACAAGUCUGGAUCUUGAUUCCUUGUAAGGGAAAAUAUCCCUCACGCCUUUCCUCUUAAGCCGGCCCACCAUCACAUGAACCGGCCUACUGGGCCUUGGGCCUUAUCGUCCUUCUGACCCGCCCGACGGGUCACCAGUGAGUCGCAAUGUUCAGGCGGGUUGCCCGUAAACCGCCAGGUCCGAGCGGGUCGCCAGUGAGUCGCCAAGCUCUAGCCGGGUCAUACAUCCGGCGGGUUACACCGCAGGGUAUAUCCCCGACAUGUAGCAUUACUGAUCUCUUCUGCCAUCGCAGUCACCGAAGUCCGAAAUCCCGCAACUCCAGGGCGCACCUUGCCGUUUAGGCUGUCAUGAGUACGGUAGCGCCUGCCUGCAUAGUAGCCACGCGGGCCAUCGUCGUGUAUGUUUUCUGCUUAGAAAUUUAUGUACACAAAGACAAGAACAAUGUUAUACACACGACAAUUUCUGAACGAUUUUUGGAGCCCAAAUUUGGUGGUUGAUCCUUUUGCCAAACUUUAUCGGUAUCAGACCCCGGUUGCAAAAGAAAUAUCAUGAUUUGACCAUUUUUCCUACUGCCACCCGACCCGGCGGUAGGGUAUCACAUCCUACCACCACAGCCCCAGGCAGUAGGUUAACGACAUGCCAUUGAUAGCCGUUUACACAUCUGUUGUGGCAAAGGGGCCUGCUGCCCAAGACCCCGACGCUCAGGUGCUCGAGCCUACCGCCAAGCACCCCGGUGGUAGGUCUGUGUAGUGGAUAAGGUGUUGGGGUGGAUGGGUGGGCCCCCACCCACCCAUUCACCCCUAAUCUCCUUCUUCCCACCGAGCUCAUCCUCUUUCCCCCUCUCUUCCCACCAAGGCACCCACAAAAUCCCUCUCCAUUGCUAGAGAUUUGUCCGGUGGAUCCGAAGCAUUUGCAUCACCCAAGGUACCUCUCCCACUCCCCCUUCUUUUGGUUGGUUUGAAUCACCUAUUUUGGUUGCAUUGCUCACAUUGUUGCAAACCCUAGUUCUUGCUCUUGUUGUUGUGAAAUCAAACAAUAUGAUGCAUUUUUGGUUGUGUUUGUGCUUUGCCUAUGUAUUGUGUGCCUAGCAUUGUUGGGGGUAAGAUCUUGUGCAAGGGUUGGUGGUUUUGUUAGGGAAGGGUUAGGGUUAUGGUUAGGUUUUGUGUUAAGGCUAUUGCUACCUCUUGAGCAUGCAUUGGUUUUCCCUUGAAGAGGAAAGGGUGAUGCAGCAAAGUAGCGUAAGUAUUUCCCUCAGUUUUUGAGAACCAAGGUAUUAAUCCAGUAGGAGGCCACACGCAAGUCCCUCGUACCUACACAAACAGAUAAGAACCUUGCAACCAACGCGAUAAAGGGGUUGUCAAUCCCUUCACGGCCACUUGCAAAAGUGAGAUCUGAUAGAGAUGAUAAGAUAAUAUUUUUGGUAUUUUUACAAUAAAGAUUAAAAGUAAAGAAAGCAAAAUAAACGGCGAAAGAAAUAGCUAGUUGACGAGAGAUUAAUAUGAUGGAAAAUAGACCCCGGGGCCAUAGGUUUCACUAGUGGCUUCUCUCAAGAUAGCAUAAGUAUUACGGUGGGUGAACAAAUUACUGUCGAGCAAUUGAUAGGAAAGUGCAUACUUAUGAGAAUAUCUAGGCAUGAUCAUGUAUAUAGUCAUCACGUCCGUGACAAGUAGACCGACUCCUGCCUGCAUCUACUACUAUUACUUCACACAUCGACCGCUAUCCAGCAUGCGUCUAGAGUAUUAAGUUCAUAAGAACAGAGUAACGCAUUAGGCAAGAUGACAUGAUGUAGAGGGAUAAACUCAAGCAAUAUGAUAUAAACCCCAUCUUUUUAUCCUCGAUGGCAACAAUACAAUACGUGUCGUUUCCCCUUCUGUCACUGGGAUCGAGCAACGCAAGAUUAAACCCAAAGCUAAGCACUUCUCCUAUUGCAAGAAAGAUCAAUCUAGUAGGCCAAACCAAACUGAUAAUUCGAAGAGACUUGCAAAGAUAACCAAUCAUACAUAAAAGAAUUCAGAGAAGAUUCAAAUAUUUUUCAUAGAUAAUCUUGAUCAUAAACCCACAAUUCAUCGGAUCUCGACAAACACACCGCAAAAAGAGUUACAUCGAAUAGAUCUCUAAGAAGAUCGAGGAGAACUUUGUAUUGAGAUCCAAAGAGAGAGAAGAAGCCAUCUAGCUAAUAACUAUGGACCCGAAGGUCUGUGGUAAACUACUCACACAUCAUCGGAGAGGCUAUGGUGUUGAUGUAGAAGCCCUCCGUGAUCGAUUCCCCCUCCGGCGGAGCGCCGGAAAAGGCCCCAAGAUGGGAUCUCACGGGUACAGAAGGUUGCGGUGGUGGAAAUAGGGUUUCGUGGUGCUCCUCGAUGGUUUCGGGGUACAUGGGUAUAUAUAGGAGGAAGAAGUAGGUCGGUGGAGCCACGAGGGGCCCACGAGGGUGGGGGGCGCGCCCAGGGGGGCAGGCACGCCUCCCUGCCUCGUGGCCUCCUCGGUUGUUUCUUGACGUCCACUCCAAGUCCUCUAAAUCACGUUUGUUCCAAAAAGAACUCUCCCGAAGGUUUCAUUCCGUUUGACUCCGUUUGAUAUUCCUUUUCUGCGAAACACUGAAAUAUGCAAAAAACAACAAUUUGCACUGGGCCUAGGGUUAAUAGUAUAGUCCUAAAAAUAAUAUAAAAGUGUAUAAUAAAGCCCAUUAAACAUCCAAAACAGAAUAUAUAAUAGCAUGGAGCAAUCAAAAAUUAUAGAUACGUUGGAGACGUAUCAAGCAUCCCCAAGCUUAAUUCAUGCUCCUCCUCGAGUAGGUAAAUGAUAAAAACAGAAUUUUUGAUGUGGAAUGCUACCUAGCAUAUUUAUCAAUGUAAUUUUCUUUAUUGUGGCAUGAAUGUUCAGAUCCGAAAGAUUCAAGACAAAAGUUUAAUAUUGACAUGAAAAUAAUAAUACUUAAAGCAUACUAACAAAGCAAUCAUGUCUUCUCAAAAUAACAUGGCCAAAGAAAGUUAUCCCUACAAAAUCAUAUAGUCUGACUAUGCUCUAUCUUCAUCACACAAAGUAUUUAAUCAUGCACAACCCCGAUGACAAGCCAAGAAAUUGUUUCAUACUUUUGAUGUUCUCAAACUUUUUCAAUCUUCACGCAAUACAUGAGCGUGAGCCAUGGACAUAGCACUAUAUGUGGAAUAGAAUGGUGGUUGUGGAGAAGAUAAAAAUGGAGAAGAUAGUCUCGCAUCAACUUGGCGUAUCAAUGGGCUAUGGAGAUGCCCAUCAAUAGAUAUCAAUGUGAGUGAGUAGGUAUUGCCAUGCAAUGGAUGCACUAGAGCUAUAAUGUGUAUGAAAGCUCAACAAAAGAAACUAAGUGGGUGUGUAUCCAACUCGCUUGCUCACAAAGACCUAGGGCAUUUUGAGGAAGCCCAUCAUUGGAAUAUACAAGCCAAGUUCUAUAAUGUAAAAUUCCCACUAGUAUAUGAAAGUGACAACAUAGGAGACUCUCUAUUAUGAAGAUCAUGGUGCUACUUUGAAGCACAAGUGUGGAAAAAGGAUAGUAACAUUGUCCCUUCUCUCUUUUUCUCUCAUUUUUUUUAUUUGGACCUUCUUCCUUUUUUUAUGGCCUCUUUUUUUUCGUCCGGAGUCUCAUCCUGACUUGUGGGGGAAUCAUAGUCUCCAUCAUCCUUUCCUCACUUGGGACAAUGCUCUAAUAAUGAUGAUCAUACACUUUUAUUUACUUACAACUCAAAGAUUACAACUCAAUACUUAGAACAAAAUAUGACUCUAUGUGAAUGCCUCCGGCGGUGUACCGGGAUAUGUGAUGAAUCAAGAGUGACAUGUAUGAAAGAAUUAUAAAGGUGGCUUUGCCACAAAUACGAUGUCAACUACAUGAUCACGCAAAGCAAUAUGACAAUGAUGAAGCAUGUCAUAAUAAACGGAACGGUGGUAAGUUGCAUGGAAAUAUAUCUCGGAAUGGCUAUGGAAAUGCCAUAAUAAGUAUGGUGGCUGUUUUGAGUAAGGUAUAUGGUGGGUGUAUGAUACGGGCGAAAGGUGCGCGGUACUAAAGAGGCUAGCAAUGGUGGAAGGGUGAGAGUGCGUAUAAUCCAUGGACUCAACAUUAUUCAUAAAGAACUCACACACUUAUUCCAAAAAUCUAUUAGUUAUCGAAACAAAGUAAUACGCGCAUGCUCGUAGGGGGAUAGAUUGGUAGGAAAAGACCAUCGCUCGUCCCCGACCGCCACUCAUAAGGAAGACAAUCAAUAAAUAAAUCAUGCUCCGACUUCAUCACAUAACGGUUCACCAUACGUGCAUGCUACGGGAAUCACAAACUUUAGAACAAGUAUUUCUCAAGUUCACAACUACUCAACUAGCAUGACUCUAAUAUCACCAUCUUCAGAUCUCAAAACAAUCAUCAAGUAUCAAACUUCUCAUAGUAUUCAAUGCACUCCAUAUGAUAGUUUUUAUUAUACCCAUCUUGGAUGUUCAUCAUGUUAGGACUAAUUUUAUAGCCAAGGACAACUACCAUGCUGUUCUAAAAGACUCUCAAAAUAAUAUAAGUGAAGCAUGAGAGAUCAAUUAUUUCUAUAAAAUAAAACCACCACCGUGCUCUAAAAAGAUAUAAGUGAAGCACUAGAGCAAAAUUGUUUAGCUCAAAAGAUAUAAGUGAAGCACAUAGAGUAUUCUAAUAAAUUCCGAUUAAUGUGUGUCUCUCCCAAAAGGUGUGGACAGAAAGGAUGAUUGUGGUGAACUAACAAGCAAAUACUCAAAUCAUACAAGACGCUCCAAGCAAAACACAUAUCAUGUGGUGAAUAUAAAUAUAGCUCCAAGUAAAGUUACCGAUGGACGAAGACAAAAGAGGGGAUGCCUUCCGGGGCAUCCCCAAGCUUAGGCUUUUGGUUGUCCUUGAAUUUUACCUUGGGGUGCCUUGGUCAUCCCCAAGCUUAGGCUCUUGCCACUCCUUGUUCCAUAAUCCAUCAAAUCUUUACCCAAAACUUGAAAACUUCACAACACAAAACUUAACAGAAAAUCUCGUGAGCUCCGUUAGCGAAAGAAAACCAAACACCACUUCAAGGUACUGUAAUGAACUCAUUAUUUAUUUAUAUUGGUGUUAAACCUACUGUAUUCCAACUUAUCUAUGGUUCAUAACCUCCGAUACUAGCCAUAGAUGCAUCAAAAUAAGCAAACAACACACGAAAAACAGAAUCUGUCAAAAACAGAAUGGUGUGUAGUAAUCUGUAUCAAACGCAUACUUCUGGAACUCCAAAAUUCUAAAAUAAAUUGCCGGACUUGAGGAAUUUAUCUAUUAAUCAUCUUCAAAAAUAAUCAACUAAAUAGCACUCUCCAGUAAAACGUUGUAGCUAAUCUCGUGAGCGCUAAAGUUUCUGUUUUUUACAGCAAGAUCAAAAAGACUUCACCCAAGUCUUCCCAAAGGUUCUACUUGGCACAAACACUAAUUAAAACAUGAAAACACAUCUAACCAGAGGCUAGAUGAAUUAUCUAUUAAUAAACAUAACCAAAAAGCAAGAAACGAAAAUAAAAUUAGGUUGCCUCCCAACAAGCGCUAUCGUUUAACGCCCCUAGCUAGGCAUAAAGGCAAGAAUAGAUCUAGGUAUUGCCAUCUUUGGUGUUGGGAAAGAAAAGAGAAAAUUUCUUAUCUAUAGCAUUAAUCUUUCUAUUUUGAGAAAGCAAGUGGCCAUUAAUGGCGGAAGAAAGAGUAAGCACGCUACGGAAAUUUGCAUCUAAGCUAGCCUUCAUUUCUUCGAUAAUUUCAUUUUGAUAGAAGGACAAAAGAGAGGUGGAUUCAACCUUCUCACUCAUGGGGUGCCCAAAUAUAGUUUUCAUCUUUUCAUAGGUAUCUAUGAGAUCUCCCUCAAGAAAACCUUCUUCAAAAAUAAAAUCUAAAACUUGCUUGAACGAAGAGGGCAAGCCAACAUAAAAGCUUUUUAGGUAUAUCUCAAUUUGAUAUUGAGGCACAUAGCUAGCUCGGAUCCUUACUAAUCUAUCCCAAGCAUCUUUUAAAGACUCAUAAAGUAAAUAACAAAAAAUUCCGGGAUCAUCUUCAUCGAAAUUAUUCAAACCCUCAUUGAUAACCCCGGUAGGUAUUUCCAUAGCAUCAUUAUUUAUGAGCCUAGAGAGGACAGAGGGACUAUCCAAAGUAUUAAAACCCGGGAGAGAACCCUUAGCCCUUUUUUAUUCGGCCAUGGCGAAAGAAAAACAAAUGGGAAAGAGGCGAAUAAAACGGCAAAGGUGAAGUGGGGGAGAGGAAAACGAGAGGCAAAUGGCAAAUAAUGUAAUGCGAGGGAUAAGAGUUUGUGAUGGGUACUUGGUAUGUCUUGACUUGUGCGUAGAAUCCCUGGCAAUGGCGCCAGAAAUUCCUCGUUGUCGGGAGAUCAAAUCUUGACUUGACUUGGCGUACACCUCCCCGGCAACGGCGCCAGAAAUCCUUCUUGCUACCUCUUGAGCAUGCAUUGGUAUUCCCUUGAAGAGGAAAGGGUGAUGCAGCAAAGUAGCGUAAGUAUUUCCCUCAGUUUUUGAGAACCAAUGUAUCAAUCCAGUAGGAGGCCACACGCAAGUCCCUCGUACCUACACAAACAAAUAAGAACCUUGCAACCAACGCGAUAAAGGGGUUGUCAAUCCCUUCACGACCAAUUGCAAAAGUGAGAUCUGAUAGAUAUGAUAAGAUAAUAUUUUUGGUAUUUUCAUGAUAAAGAUUAAAAGUAAAGAAAGCAAAAUAAACGGCGACAGAAAUAGCUAGUUGGCGGGAGAUUAAUAUGAUGGAAAAUAGACCCGGGGGCCAUAGGUUUCACUAGUGGCUUCUCUCAAGAUAGCAUAAGUAUUACGGUGGGUGAACAAAUUACUGUCGAGCAAUUGAUAGAAAAGUGCAUAAUUAUGAGAAUAUCUAGGCAUGAUCAUGUAUAUAGGCAUGACGUCCGUGACAAGUAGACCGACUCCUGCCUGCAUCUACUACUACUACUCCACACAUCGACCGCUAUCCAGCAUGCAUCUAGAGUGUUAAGUUCAUAAGAACAGAGUAACGCAUUAGGCAAGAUGACAUGAUGUAGAGGGAUAAACUCAAGCAAUAUGAUAUAAAACCCAUCUUUUUAUCCUCGAGGGAAACAAUACAAUAUGUGUCAUUUCCCCUUCUGUCACUGGGAUCGAGCAACGCAAGAUUGAACCCAAAGCUAAGCACUUCUCCUAUUGCAAGAAAGAUCAAUCUAGUAGGCCAAACCAAACUGAUAAUUCGAAGAGACUUGCAAAGAUAACCAAUCAUACAUAAAAGAAUUCAGAGAAGAUUCAAAUAUUGUUCAUAGAUAAUCUUGAUCAUAAACCCACAAUUCAUCAGAUCUCGACAAACACACCGCAAAAAGAGUUACAUCGAAUAGAUCUCCAAGAAGAUCGAGGAGAACUAUGUAUUGAGAUCCAAAGAGAGAGAAGAAGCCAUCUAGCUAAUAACUAUGGACCCGAAGGUCUGUGGUAAACUACUCACACAUCAUCGGAGAGGCUAUGGUGUUGAUGUAGAAGCCCUCCGUGAUCGAUUCCCCCUCCGGCGAAGCGCCGGAAAAGGCCCCAAGAUGGGAUCUCACGGGUACAGAAGGUUGCGGCGGUGGAAAUAGGGUUUCGUGGUGCUCCUUGAUGGUUUCGGGGUACAUGGGUAUAUAUAGGAGGAAGAAGUAGGUCGGUGGAGCCACGAGGGGCCCACGAGGGUGGGGGGCGCGCUUCCCUGCCUCGUGGCCGCCUCGGUUGUUUCUUGAAGUCCAAUCCAAGUCCUCUAGAUCACGUUUGUUCCAAAAAGAACUCUCCUGAAGGUUUCAUUCCGUUUGGACUCCGUUUGAUAUUCCUUUUCUGCGAAACACCGAAAUAGGCAAAAAAUAGCAAUUUGCACUUGGCCUUGGGUUAAUAGGUUAGUCCCAAAAAUAAUAUAAAAGUGUAUAAUAAAGCCCAUUAAACAUCCAAAACAGAAUAUAUAAUAGCAUGGAGCAAUCAAAAAUUAUAGAUACGUUGGAGACGUAUCAAGCAUCCCCAAGCUUAAUUCCUGCUCGUCCUCGAGUAGGUAAAUGAUAAGAAUAGAAUUUUUGAUGUGGAAUGCUACCUAGCAUAUUUCUCAAUGUAAUUUUCUUUAUUGUGGCAUGAAUGUUCAGAUCCGAAAGAUUCAAGACAAAAGUUUAAUAUUGACAUGAAAAUAAUAAUACUUCAAGUAUACUAACAAAGCAAUCAUGUCUUCUCAAAAUAACAUGGCCAAAGAAAGUUAUCCCUACAAAAUCAUAUAGUCUGACUAUGCUCUAUCUUCAUCACACAAAGUAUUUAAUCAUGCACAACCCCGAUGACAAGCCAAGAAAUUGUUUCAUACUUUUGAUGUUCUCAAACUUUUUCAAUCUUCACGCAAUACAUGAGCGUGAGCCAUGGACAUAGCACUAUAUGUGGAAUAGAAUGGUGGUUGUGGAGAAGAUAAAAAUGGAGAAGAUAGUCUCACAUCAACUUGGUGUAUCAAUGGGCUAUGGAGAUGCCCAUCAAUAGAUAUCAAUGUGAGUGAGUAGGGAUUGCCAUGCAACGGAUGCACUAGAGCUAUAAUGUGUAUGAAAGCUCAACAAAAGAAACUAAGUGGGUGUGCAUCCAACUCGCUUGCUCACGAAGACCUAGGGCAUUUUGAGGAAGCCCAUCAUUGGAAUAUACAAGCCAAGUUCUAUAAUGUAAAAUUCCCACUAGUAUAUGAAAGUGACAACAUAGGAGACUCUCUAUUAUGAAGAUCAUGGUGCUACUUUGAAGCACAAGUGUGGAAAAAGGAUAGUAACAUUGUCCCUUCUCUCUUUUUCUCUCAUUUAUUUUUAUUUGGGCCUUCUUCCUUUUUUAUGGCCUCUUUUUUUCUCUUUUUUUUCUUUUCGUCCGGAGUCUCAUCCCGACUUGUGGGGGAGUUGUCGUGGUUUUGUCACGGCAGCUGUCCUAGAGAAAGGACUUAGUCGUGGAGCCAUCGCUACGGGUUAACUUAAAGGGGUUAAAGCGGACAAGGGACGCAAGAGAGUUUUAUACUAGUUCGGCCCCUUACGAUGAAGGUAAAAGCCUACGUCUAGUUGUGAUGGAAUUGCUGGGGUUUCGAUGACCAGGGAGCGAAUACGCUUUGCCUGAGUCUCGAGUUGUUGUGUGUUGUCCUUGAACCGCCGCCGGGUCGUCCCCUUAUAUACAUGGGUUGACGCCCGUCGGUUUACAGAAUCCCGAGGCCGGCUCAUAAUCGUGUCCGGCUCGGUCUCUGCUACUUCUAUCUUACAACACAAGUUUACAUAUCAAUGUCAGUUUAUGUCUACAGGCCUUAAACCGGCUUUGGGCCCUGGGCCUUCAUAAAGCGUCACUGUCUGUCUUCAUGGACUUCAGAUACAGAUGAACUACUUAUGGGGUUAACCCGGCCUCUCCUGGCCGGUUUACGCCCAGUGGUAAUAUCCCCAACAUUAGGCCCCAGAUUGAUUUGAACUGGUUCAUGUCAAUCCUCAAUACUUAAGAAAAUUUCUCCUUCAACAUCUUCACAUAACCAUCGUGACCUCAUCUUCUAGGAUCAUGGUAAACCGCCGUGACGUCACCUGUUAUUUAAAACUGUGUAUAAUCCACCUUCAUUAAUGAGCCUCCGGCAAUCGAGGCGACAGAUCCGCCUCAUAUCCAAAAUUUAGGCUCCUCGAUUUUCACGCCUGACGCUUAUCUUUCUGCCCUUAUAAAUAGAGCCAGGGGUCUUUCCAUUCCCCCCCCCCAUAUCUCUUCACCUCAUCUUCUUCCUUGCACUGCCCAUCCUUUGGAGCUCCGCCGCCACCAUCGACCUUUGUUUCUUCCUCCGCGACGGCCGCUGCAUCAACCUGAUCGGACCAGAAAAACGCGGCAAUCCUCCGCUGCUUCCUCAGCACCAGUACGUUCCUCCUUUCUUACUCCAGAUCGACCAUUAGGGUUCGUCGUUCUUCGUAGUUCUUCGAAGUUCUUGAAUCUGUUUGUUUCUCUUUAGCAGUACCAAUGGCUAGUUUAGAUCUUCUUUUUCCAAAGCCUUUGUACUUUAAACUCCUGCUUCCUUGUUAGAACAUCUGCCUUGUAUAAAACUCAUCUCAACUUGGUGAACCUUUAACACGCUGGAAAUUAGGUCAGAAUAUAUUUCGUUUUUCCAAUGCAUGGUAGAUCUGAAAUUACCAUGGCAAGAUGUGAAACUUGUUUCUUCCUUCACUUAUACGCUUUUAAUACCAGAUUGGGCCAUAGUUUUCACUAGUUGCUUCUCUCAAGAUAGCAUAAGUAUUGCGGUGGGUGAACAAAUUACUGUCAAGCAAUUGAUAGAAAAGUGCAUAAUUAUGAGAAUAUCUAGGCAUGAUCAUGUAUAUAGGCAUCACGUCCGUGACAAGUAGACCGACUCCUGCCUGCAUCUACUACUAUUACUCCACACAUCGACCGCUAUCCAGCAUGCAUCUAGAGUAUUAAGUUCAUAAGAACAGAGUAAUGCAUUAGGCAAGAUGAGAUGAUGUAGAGGGAUAAACUCAAGCAAUAUGAUAUAAACCCCAUCUUUUUAUCCUCGAUGGCAACAAUACAAUACGUGUCGUUUCCCCUUCUGUCACUGGGAUCGAGCAACGCAAGAUUGAACCCAAAGCUAAGCACUUCUCCUAUUGCAAGAAAGAUCAAUCUAGUAGGCCAAACCAAACUGAUAAUUCGAAGAGACUUGCAAAGAUAACCAAUCAUACAUAAAAGAAUUCAGAGAAGAUUCAAAUAUUGUUCAUAGAUAAUCUUGAUCAUAAACCCACAAUUCAUCGGAUCUCGACAAACACAUUGCAAAAAGAGUUACAUUGAAUAUAUCUCCAAGAAGAUCGAGGAGAACUUUGAAUUGAGAUCCAAAGAGAGAGAAGAAGCCAUCUAGCUAAUAACUAUGGACCUGAAGGUCUGUGGUAAACUACUCACACAUCAUCGGAGAGGCUAUGGUGUUGAUGUAGAAGCCCUCCGUGAUCGAUUCCUCCUCCGGCGGAGCGCCGGAAAAGGCCCCAAGAUGGGAUCUCACGGGUACAGAAGGUUGCGGCGGUGGAAAUAGGGUUUCGUGGUGCUCCUCGAUGGUUUCGGGGUACAUGGGUAUAUAUAGGAGGAAGAAGUAGGUCGGUGGAGCCACGAGGAGCCCACGAGGGUGGGGGCGCGCCCAGGGGGGCAGGCGCGCCUCCCUGCCUCGUGGUCUCCUCGGUUGUUUCUUGACGUCCACUCCAAGUCCUCUGGAUCAUGUUUGUUCCAAAAAGAACUCUCCCGAAGGUUUCAUUCCGUUUGGACUCCAUUUGAUAUUCCUUUUCUGCGAAACACUGAAAUAGGCAAAAAAGAGCAAUUUGCACUGAGCCUUGGGUUAAUAGGUUAGUCCCAAAAAUAAUAUAAAAGUGUAUAAUAAAGCCCAUUAAACAUCCAAAACAGAAUAUAUAAUAGCAUGGAGCAAUCAAAAAUUAUAGGUACGUUGGAGACGUAUCAGCUAUGGAUUAAAUUUGACCAUGUUUUUCUUGUUGUUUCUAUGCAAUGCAUACAAGUUCCUUGAGUCAAAGUAUGCAUAUUGUAGGUAGUUCAUCCAUAUGAAUCGGCCAGCCCAUGGAUGACUUGAUGUUUUUUCUCCAUUGUUCUUAGAUGGAUAGGCUCGUUAAUGUGCAUUAUUUGGACAAGGCAGCAUCUAUGAAUGGAAAUGCCGAUGAAGGGGAGGAGCCCAUGGUUUUUUGACACAAGUCCAAGCUAUGAGGAUGUGAAGGAAAUAUGCCCUAGAGGCAAUAAUAAAGUUAUUAUUUAUUUCCUUAUUUCAUGAUAAAUGUUUAUUAUUCAUGCUAGAAUUGUAUUAACCGGAAACUUAGUACAUGUGUGAAUACAUAGACAAAAAGAGUGUCCCUAGUAUGCCUCUAAUUGACUAGCUCGUUAAUCAAAGAUGGUUAAGUUUCCUAGCCAUAGACAUGUGUUGUCAUUUGAUGAACGGGAUCAAAUCAUUAGAGAAUGAUGUGAUGGACAAGACCCAUUCGUUAGCUUAGCAUUAUGAUCGUUUCAGUUUCAUUGCUACCGCUUUCUUCAUGACUUAUACAUGUUCCUCUAACUAUGAGAUUAUGCAACUCCCGAAUACCGGAGGAACACCUUGUGUGCUAUCAAACAUCACAACGUAACUAGGUGAUUAUAAAGAUGUUGUACAGGUGUCUUCGAAGGUGUUUGUUGGGUUGGCAUAGAUCGAGAUUAGGAUUUGUCACUCCGUGUAUCAGAUAGGUAUCUCUGGGCCCUCUCGGUAAUGCACAUCACUAUAAGCCUUGCAGGCAAUGUGACUAAUGACUUAGUUGUGGGAUGAUGCAUUACGGAACGAGUAAAGAGACUUGCCGGUAACGAGAUUGAACUAGGUAUGAUGACACCGACAAUCGAAUCUCGGGCAAGUAACAUACCGAAGUCAAAGGGAACAAUGUAUGUUUUUAUGCGGUUUGACCGAUAAAGAUCUUCGUAGAAUAUGUAGGAGCCAAUAUGAGCAUCCAGGUUCCGCAAUUGGUUAUUGACCGGAGAUGAGUCUCGGUCAUGUCUACAUAGUUCUCGAACCCGUAGGGUCCGCACGCUUAACGUUCGAUGACGAUCGGUAUUAUGAGUUUAUGUGUUUUGAUGUACCGAAGGUUGUUCGGAGUCCUGGAUGAGAUCACAGACAUGACGAGGAGUCUCGAAAUGGUCGAUACAUAAAGAUUGAUAUAUUGGAAGGUUAUAUUCGGACACCGGAAAGGUUUCGGGGGUCACCGGAUAAAUACCGGAGUACCGGGGAGUUACCGGAACCCCCCGGGGGGUCAAUGGGCCUUCAUGGGCCUUAGUGGAAAUAGAGGGCAGCAAGGGAGCUGUGGGGCGCGCCCCCCUAGGCCCAAACCGAAUUGGUUUAGGGCUUGGGGGCGGCCCCCUCUUUCCUUCUCCCCUCCUCCUCUUUCCUCCCCCUCCUAGUUGGACUAGGAAAGGGGGAACCUACUCCUAGUAGGAGUAGGAUUCCCCCCUUGGGGCGCACCCUACGAGGCCGCCGGCCCCCUCCCCUUGCUCCUUUAUAUACGGGGGCAGGGGGCACCCUAGAACACACAAGUUGACAGUUGUCUUAGCCGUGUGCGAUGCCCCAUCCACAGAUUUCCACCUCGGUCAUAUCGUUGCAGUGCUUAGGCGAAGCCCUGCGUCGGUAGCUUCAUCAUCACCGUCACCACACCGUCGUGCUGACAAAACUCUCCCUCGACCUCAGCUGGAUCUAGAGUUCGCGAGACGUCACCGAGCCGAACGUGUGCAGAUCGCGGAGGUGCCGUACCUGUUGGGGAACGUAGUAAUUUCAAAAAAAUUCCUACGCACACGCAAGAUCAUGGUGAUGCAUAGCAACAAGAGGGGAGAGUGUUGUCCACGUACCCUCGUAGACCGAAAGCGGAAGCGUUAUCACAACGUGGUUGAUGUAGUCGUACGUCUUCACGAUCCGACCGAUCAAGUACCGAACGCACGGCACCUCCGAGUUCUACACACGUUCAGCUCGAUGACGUCCCUCGAACUCCGAUCCAGCCGAGUGUUGAGGGAGAGUUUCGUCAGCACGACGGCGUGGUGACGAUGAUGAUGUUCCACCGACGCAGGGCUUCGCCUAAGCUCCGCAACGGUAUUAUCGAGGUGUAAUAUGGAGGAGGGGGGCACCGCACACGGCUAAAAUAUCGUAUAUCAAUUGUGUCCAUGGGGUGCCCCCCUGCCCCCGUAUAUAAAGGAGCAAGGGGGAGGCCGCCGGCCUAGGGAGGAGAGGCGCGCCAGAAGGGGGAGUCCUACUCCCACCGGGAGUAGGACUCCUCCUUUCCUUGUUGGAAUAGGAGAAGGGAAGGGAGAAGGAGAAAGAAGGAAGGGGGCGCCCCCCUUCCCUAGUCCAAUUCGGACCAAAUCAUGGGGAGGGGCGCGGCCACCUUUUGAGGCCUUUCUCUCCUUUCCCGUAUGGCCCAUGAAGGCCCAAUACGAAUUCCCGUAACUCUCCGGUACUCCGAAAAAUACCCGAAUCACUCGGAACCUUUCCGAAGUCCAAAUAUAGUCGUCCAAUAUAUCGAUUUUUACGUCUCGGCCAUUUCGAGACUCCUCGUCAUGUCCCCGAUCUCAUCCGGGACUCCGAACUCCUUCGGUACAUCAGAACUCAAUAAAACUGUCAUCGUAACGUUAAGCGUGCGGACCCUACGGGUUCGAGAACUAUGUAGACAUGACCGAGACACCUCUCCGGUCAAUAACCAAUAGCGGAACCUGGAUGCUCAUAUUGGUUCCCACAUAUUCUACGAAGAUCUUUAUCGGUCAAACCGCAUAACAACAUAUGUUGUUCCCUUUGUCAUCGGUAUGUUACUUGCCCGAGAUUCGAUCGUCGGUAUCUCGAUACCUAGUUCAAUCUCGUUACCGGCAAGUCUCUUUACUCGUUCCGUAAUACAUCAUCCCGCAACUAUCUCAUUAGUCACAAUGCUUGCAAGGCUUAUAGUGAUGUGCAUUACCGAGUGGGCCCAGAGAUACCUCUCCGACAAUCGGAGUGACAAAUCCUAAUCUCGAAAUACGCCAACCCAAAAAAUACCUUUGGAGACACCUGUAGAGCACCUUUAUAAUCACCCAUUUACGUUGUGACGUUUGGUAGCACACAAAGUGUUCCUCCGGUAAACGGGAGUUGCAUAAUCUCAUAGUCAUAGGAACAUGUAUAAGUCAUGAAGAAAGCAAUAGCAACAUACUAAACGAUCGAGUGCUAAGCUAACGGAAUGGGUCAAGUCAAUCACGUCAUUCUCCUAAUGAGGUGAUCCCGUUAAUCAAAUGACAACUCAUGUCUAUGGCUAGGAAACAUAACCAUCUUUGAUUAACAAGCUAGUCAAGUAGAGGCAUACUAAUGACACUCUUGUUUGUCUAUGUAUUCACACAUGUAUUAUGUUUCCGGUUAAUACAAUUCUAGCAUGAAUAAUAAACAUUUACCAUGAUAUAAGGAAAUAUAUAAUACUUUAUUAUUGCCUCUAGGGCAUAUUUCCUUCAGUACCUUCGGUGCUAGGAUCGGUCAGAUCAUGAAGACGUACGACUACAUCAACCGCAUUGUCAUAACGCUUCCGCUUUCGGUCUACGAGGGUACGUGGACAACACUCUCCCCUCUCGUUGCUAUGUAUCACCUAGAUGGAUCUUCCGAGUGCGUAGGAAUUUUUUUGAAAUUAUUGCGUUCCCCAACAGUGGCAUCCGAGCCAGGUCUAUGCGUAGAUGUUAUAUGCACGAGUAGAACACAAAGAGUUGCGGGCGAUAAUAGUCAUACUGCUUACCAGCAUGUCAUACUUUGGUUCAGCGGUAUUGUUGGAUGAAGCGGCUCAGAACGACAUUACGCGUACGCUUACGCGAGAUUUGUUCUACCGACGUGCUUCGCACACAGGUGGCUAGUGGGUGUCUGUUUCUCCAACUUUAGUUGAAUCGAGUGUGACUAUGCCCGGUCCUUGUUGAAGGUUAAAACAACACACUUGACGAAAAAUUGUUGUGGUUAUGAUGCGUAGGUAAGAACGGUUCUUGCUAAGCCCGUAGCAGCCACGUAAAACUUGCAACAACAAAGUAGAGAACGUCUAACUUGUUUUUGCAGGGCAUGUUGUGAUGUGAUAUGGUCAAGACGUGAUGAUAUAUAAAUUGUUGUAUGAUAUGAUCAUGUUUUGUUAAAGUUAUCGCAACUGGCAGGAGCCUUAUGGUUGUCUCUUUAUUGCAUAAGAUGCAAGCGCCAUAUAAUUGCUUUACUUUAUCGCUAUGCAAUAGCAAUAGUUGCAAAAGCACUAGUUGGCGAGACAACCAUGUGACGACACGUUGAUAGAGAUCAAGAUGAUGGAGAUCAUGGUGUCAUGCCAGUGACGAUGGAGAUCAUGACGGUACUUUGGAGAUGGAGAUCAAAGGCACAUGAUAAUGAUGGCCAUAUCAUGUCACAUAUUUUGAUUGCAUGUGAUGUUUAUCUUUUAUGCAUCUUAUUUUGCUUAGUACGGCGGUAGCUUUAUAAGAUGAUCCCUCACUAAAUUUCAAGGUAUAAGUGUUCUCCCUGAGUAUGCACCGUUGCUACAGUUCUUCGUGCCAAGACACCACGUGAUGAUCGGGUGUGAUAAUCUCUACGUUCACAUACAACGGGUGCAAGCCAGUUUUGCACACGCAGAAUACUCGGGUUAAACUUGACGAGCCUAGCAUAUGCAGAUAUGGCCUUGGAACAUUGAGACCAAAAGGUCGAGCGUGAAUCAUAUAGUAGAUAUGAUCAACAUAGUGAUGUUCACCAUUGAAAACUACUCCAUCUCAUGUGAUGAUCGGACAUGGUUUAGUUGAUAUGGAACACGUGAUCACUUAGAUGAUUAGAGGGAUGUCUAUCUAAGUGGGAGUUCUUAAGUAAUAUGAUUAAUUGAACUUUAAUUUAUUAUGAACUUAGUCCUGAUAGUAUUUGCAAAUCUAUGUUGUAGCUCAAUAGCUCGCGAUGUAGGUCCUCGUUUAUUUUUGAUAUGUUCCUAGAGAAAACCAAGUUGAAAGAUGUUAGUAGCAAUGAUGUGGACUUGGUCCGUGAUCUGAGGAUUAUCCUCAUUGCUACACAGAAGAAUUAUGUCCUUGAUGCACCGCUAGGUGACAAAACUAUUGCAGGAGCAGAUGCAGACGUUAUGAACAUUUGACAAGCUCGGUAUGAUGACUACUUGAUAGUUUAGUGCACCAUGCUUUACAUCUUAGAACCGGGACUUCAAAAAUGUUUUGAACGCCACGGAGCAUAUAAGAUGUUCCAAAAGUUAAAAUUGGUAUCUCAUACUCAUGCCCGUGUCAAGAGGUAUGAGACCUCUGACAGUACUUUGCCUACAAGAUGGAGGAGAAUAGCUCAACGAGUGAGCAUGUGCUCAGAAUGUCUGAGUACUACAAUCACUUGAAUCAAGGGGAGUUAAUCUUCCCGAUAAGAUAGUGAUUGACAGAGUUCUCUAGUCACUAUCACCAAGUUACUAGAACUUCAUGAUGAACUAUAAUAUGCAAGGGAUAAUGGAAACGAUUCCCAAGCUCUUCGCGAUGCUGAAACCGGCGAAGGUAGAAAUCAAGAAAAAGCAUCAAGUGUUGAUGGUUGACAAGACCACUAGUUUCAAGUAAAAGGGCAAGGGAAAGAAAGGGAACUUCAAGAAGAAUGGCAAGCAAGUUUCCACUCCCAUGAAGAGGCCCAAAUCUAGACCCAAGCCUGAAACUGAGUGCUUCUACUGCAAAGGAAAUGGUCACUGGAAGUGGAACUGCCCUAGAUACUUGGCGGAUAAGAAGGAUGGCAUAGUGAACAAAGGUAUAUUGGAUAUACAUGUUAUUGAUGUGUACUUUACUAGUGUUUAUAGCAACCUCUCGGUAUUUGAUACUGGUUCAGUUGCUAAGAGUAGUAAAUCGAAACGGGAGUUGCAAAAUAAACAGAGACUAGUUAAGGGAGAGGUGAUGAUGUGUGUUGGAAGUGAUUCCAAGGUUGAUAAGAUCACCAUCGCACACUCCCUUUACCUUCGGGAUUAGUGUUGAACCUAAAAUAAAUGUUAUUUGGUGUUUGCGUUGAGCAUGAAUAUGAUUGGAUCAUGUUUGUUGCAAUACGGUUAUUCAUUUAAGUCAAAGAAUAAUUGUUGUUCUAUUUACAUGAAUAAAACCUUCUAUGGUCAUACAGUCAAUGUAAAUGGUUUAUUGAAUCUCGAUCGUAGUGAUACACAUAUUCAUAAUAUUGAAGCCAAAAGAUGCAAAGUUAAUAAUGAUAGUGCAACUUAUUUGUGGCACUCCCGUUUAGGUCAUAUUGGUGUAAAGUGCAUGAAGAAACUCCAUGCUGGUGGGCUUUUGGAAUCACUUGAUUAUGAAUCACUUGAUGCUUGCGAACCAUGCCUCAUGGGCAAGAUGACUAAGACUCUGUUCUCCGGAACAAUGGAGCGAGCAACUGACUUAUUGGAAAUAAUACAUACUGAUGUAUGCGGUCCGAUGAGUGUUGAGGCUCGUGGUAGGUAUCGUUAUUUUCUGACCUUCAUAGAUGAUUUGAGCAGAUAUGGGUAUAUCUACUUGAUGAAACAUAAGUCCGAAACAUUUGACAAGUUCAAAGAAUUUUAGAAUAAAGUGAAAAAUCAUCGUAACAAGAAAAUAAAGUUUCUACGAUCUGAUCGCGGAGACGAAUAUUUGAGUUACGAUUUUGGUCUUCAAUUAAAACAAUGUGGAAUAGUUUCACAAACUCAUGCCACCUGGAACACCACAGCAUAAUGGUGUGUCCGAACGUCACAACCGUACUUUAUUGGAUAUAGUGCAAUCUAUGAUGUCUCUUACCGAUUUACCACUAUCGUUUUGGGGUUAUGCAUUAGAGACAGCUACAUUCAUGUUAAAUGGGGCACCAUCUAAUCCGUUGAGACGACACCGUAUGAACUAUGGUUUGGCUAGAAACAUAAGCUGUCGAUUCUUAAAGUUUGGGGUUGCGAUGCUUAUGUGCAAAAGUUUCAACCUGAUAAGCUUGAACUCAAAUCGGAGAAGUGCGUCUUCAUAGGAUACCCAAAAGAAAAUAUCGGGUACACCUUCUAUCACAGAUCCGAAGGCAAGAUCUUUGUUGCUAAGAAUGGAUUCUUUCUAGAGAAGAAGUUUCUCUCGAAAGAAGUGAGUGGGAGGAAAGUAGAACUUGAUGAGGUAAUUGUACCUUCUCCCGAAUUGGAAAGUAAUUCAUCACAGAAAUCAGUUCCAGUGAUGCCUACACCAAUUAGUGAGGAAGUUAAUGAUGAUGAUCAUGAAACUUCAUAUCAAUUUACUACCGAACCUCGUAGGUCAACCAGAGUACGUUCCGCACCAGAGUGGUACGGUAAUCUGGUUCUGGAAGUCAUGUUACUAGACCAUGACGAACCUACGAACUAUGAGGAAGUGAUGAUGAGCCCAGAUUCCGCAAAAUGGUUUAAGGCCAUGAAAUCUGAGAUAUGAUCCAUGUAUGAAAACAAAGUAUGGACUUUGGUGGAAUUGCCCGAUGAUCGGCAAGCCAUUGAGAAUAAAUGGAUCUUCAAGAGGAAGACGGACGUUGAUGGUAGUGUUACUAUCUACAAAGCUUGACUUGUCACGAAAGUUUUUCGACAAGUUCAAGGUGUUGACUACGAUGAGUUUUUCUCACUUGUAGCGAUGCUUAAGUCUGUCCGAAUCAUGUUAGCAAUUGCCGCAUUUUAUGAAAUCUGGCAAAUGGAUAAACAAAACUGCAUUCCUUAAUGGGUUUAUUAAAGAAGAGUUGUAUAUGAUGCAACCAGAAGGUUUUGUCAAUCCUAAAGGUGCUAACAAAAUAUGCAAGCUCCAGCGAUCCAUCUAUGGACUAGUGCAAGCAACUCGGAGUUGGAAUAUACGCUUUGAUAAGUUGAUCAAAGCAUAUUGUUUUAUACAGACUUGCAGUGAAGCCUGUAUUUACAAGAAAGUGAGUGGGAGCACUACAGCCUUUCUGAUAAGUAUAUGUGAAUGACAUAUUGUCGAUCGGAAAUGAUGUAGAAUUUUCUGGAAAGCAUAAAGGAGUGUUUGAAAGGAUUUUUUCAAAGAAAGACCUGGGUGAAGCUGCUUACAUAUUGAGCAUCAAGAUCUAUAGAGAUAGAUCAGGACGCUUGAUAAGUUUUUUCAAUGAGUACAUACCUUGACAAGUUUUUGAAGUAGUUCAAAAUGGAACAGUCAAAGAAAGAGUUCUUGCCUGUGUUGCAAGGUGUGAAGUUGAGUAAGACUCAAAGCCCGACCACGGCAGAAGAUAGAGAGAGAAUGAAAGUCAUUCCCUAUGCCUUAGCCAUAGGUUCUAUAAAGUAUGCCAUGCUAUGUACCAGUCCUAUUGUAUACCCUGCCCUGAGUUUGGCAAGGGGGUACAAUUUUGAUCUAGGAGUAGACCACUAGACAGCGGUCAAAAUUAUCCUUAGAGGACUAAGGAAAUAUUUCUCGGUUAUGGAGGUGAUAAAGAGUUCGUCGUAAAGAGUUACGUCGAUGCAAUCUUUGACACCGAUCUGGAUGACUCUAAGUCACAAUCCGAAUACAUAUUUAAAGUGAGAGCAAUUAGCUAAAGUAGCUCCAUGGAGAGCAUUGUAGACAUAGAAAUUUGCAAAAUACAUACAGAUCUGAAUUUGGCAGACCCGUUGACUAAACUUUUCUCACAAGCAAAACAUGAUCACACCUUAGUACUCUUUGGGUUUAAUCACAUGGCGAUGUGAACUAGAUUACUGACUCUAGUAAACACUUUGAGUGUUGGUCACAUGGCGAUGUGAACUAUGGGUGUUAAUCACAUGGUGAUGUGAACUAUUGGUGUUAAAUCACAUAGCGAUGUGAACUAGAUUAUUGACUCUAGUGCAAGUGGGAGACUGAAGGAAAUAUGCCCUAGAGGCAAUAAUAAAGUUAUUAUUUAUUUCCUUAUUUCAUGAUAAAUGUUUAUUAUUCAUGCUAGAAUUGUAUUAACCGGAAACUUAGUACAUGUGUGAAUACAUAGACAAACAGAUUGUCACUAGUAUGCCUCUACUUGACUAGCUCGUUGAUCAAAGAUGGUUAAGUUUCCUAGCCAUAGAUAUGUGUUUUCAUUUGAUGAACGGGAUCACAUCACUAGAGAAUGAUGUGAUGGACAAGACCCAUUCAUUAGCUUAGCAUUAUGAUCGUUUCAGUUUCAUUGCUACUGCUUUCUUCAUGACUUAUACAUGUUCUUCUGACUAUGAGAUUAUGCAACUCCCGAAUACCGGAGGAACACCUUGUGGGCUAUCAAACGUCACAACCUAACUGGGUGAUUAUAAAGACGCUCUACAGGUGUCUCCGAAGGUGUUUGUUGGGUUGGCAUAGAUCGAGAUUAGGAUUUGUCACUCCGUGUAUCGGAGAGGUACCUCUGGGCCCUCUCGGUAAUGCACAUCACUAUAAUCCUUGCAAGCAAUGUGACUAAUGAGUUAGUUGCGGGAUGAUGCAUUACGGAACGAGUAAAGAGACUUGUCGGUAACGAGAUUGAACUAGGUAUGAUGAUACCGACGAUCGAAUCUCGGGCAAGUAACAUACCGAUGACAAAGGGAACAAUGUAUGUUGUUAUGCGGUUUGACCGAUAAAGAUCUUCGUAGAAUAUGUAGGAGCCAAUAUGAGCAUCCAGGUUCUGCUAUUGGUUAUUGGCCGGAGAUGAGUCUCGGUCAUGUCUACACAGUUCUCGAACCCGUAGGGUCCGCACGCUUAACAUUCGAUGACGAUCGAUAUUAUGAGUUUAUGUGUUUUGAUGUACCGAAGGUUGUUCGGAGUCCCGGACGAGAUCACGGACAUGACGAGGAGUCUCGAAAUGGUCGAGACAUAAAGAUUGAUAUAUUGGAAGGUUAUAUUCGGACACCGGAAAGGUUCCGGGGUUCACCGGAUAAAUACCGGAGUACCGGGGAGUUACCGGAACCCCCCGGGGGGUCAAUGGGCCUUCAUGGGCCUUAGUGGAAAUAGAGGGCAGCAAGGGAGCUGUGGGGCGCACCCCCCUAGGUCCAAACCGAAUUGGUUUAGGGCUUGGGGGGGCGGCCCCCUCUAUCCUUCUCCCCUCCUCCUCUUUCCUCCCCCCCCCCUAGUUGGACUAGGAAAGGGGGAACCUACUCCUAGUAGGAGUAGGAUUCCCCCCUUGGGGCGCACCCUAUGAGGCCGCCGGCCCCCUCCCCUUGCUCCUUUAUAUACGGGGGCAGGGGACACCCUAGAACACACAAGUUGACAGUUGUCUUAGCCGUGUGCGGUGCCCCCCUCCACAGAUUUCCACCUCCGUCAUAUCGUUGCAGUGCUUAGGCGAAGCCCUGCACCGGUAGCUUCAUCAUCACCGUCACCACGCCGUCGUGAUGAAACUCUCCCUCGACCUCAGCUAGAUCUAGAGUUCGCGGGACGUCACUGAGCUGAACAUGUGUAGAUCGCGGAGGUGUCGUACCUUCGGUGCUAGGAUCGGUCGGAUCGUGAAGACGUAUGACUACAUCAACCGUGUUGUAAUAACGCUUCCGCUUUCGGUCUACAAGGGUACGUGGACAACACUCUCCCCUCUCGUUGCUAUGCAUCACCUAGAUGGAUCUUCCGUGUGCGUAGGAUUUUUUUUGAAAUUACUGCGUUCCCCAACAGGAUGUUGUAGUGAAAGUGAGAAGCAUCUUACAUUGGAUUAACCCAAUUGAUGAGGUGAAGCUUAUUGGGAGGUAUGACGUUGGAGUGGGAGUAAAGUCCCAAUUAAAGAGUAUGCCCAUCACCUUCGAAUUGCAUUGGAAUGUGUACAAGGAUAAAGUUGAGGGAUCACAAGACAAGUCACUUGAAUUAUUUGCCACAAAGGUUGAAGUUCCUCAGCUACAACUCAACUUGAACCAGAAUGUGUCCUCCCCAAUACAUGAUAGUAGGUUCAAGGUGUAUGUCCACAAUUCUUCUAGCCAACCACCAAGUAGCCAACCAAAUGAAGAGGAGAUCAAUGAUAGAGCCAUAGUAGUUCGUGGUGAUGCUAUUGCUCAUGUUUAUGAUGAUGCUAUUGCUCAUGUUGAUGAAGAUGCUACUACUAGUGUUGAUGAUCAUGUUAUUGCUCAAGAUGAUGCUUACGCAGAAGAAGAAGAAUAGAUUCAUUACAAUCCCACUGGUGACUUGGAUGUCAUUGUGUAGCAACAAAACAUGGACCGUAAUCCAACGCAUUAUCGGCAUCUUGUUGGGAGUGUUGUCUAUCUAGCUGUCACUUCUUCAGAUAUCUCUUAUCCAGUCCAUAUUUUGAGUCAGUUUGUCUCUGCUCUCACUUUGAUUCACUAUAGUCACCUCCUUCGUGUUCUCUAAUAUCAACGUAGCACGAUCUCUCACCGUCUAUUCUUUCCCCUCUCCAGUUCAUUACAGCUUCAGGCCUAUUUGGAUGCUAUGUGGCUAGUGAACCCUCGGAUCUCCAUUCACUUUCUCCUUACUGUGUUUUUCUUGGUGGUUCUCUCAUUGUUUGGAAGACGAAGAAACAGAUUGCAUCUUCCCAUUUGAGUGCAGAGGCUGAGUUGCGAGCUAUGGCUCUUUUGACAGCAGAGGUGACUUGGUUACGGUGGUUAGUCCAGGGCUUUGGUGUUUCUGUCACUACACCUACUCCGCUAUUGUCUGACAAUAUUAGAUGCUAUUAGCAUUGCACACGGCCCUAUGAACCAUGAGCUCACGAAGCAUAUUAGCGUUGAUGCUUUCUUUGUGCACACUGGUGUGCAGGAUCAGGUUAUUGCUCUCCAGUAUGUGUCUUCCGAGUUACAGUUUGCGGAUUUCUUUACGAAGGCUUUGACUAGAGCGCAACAUGGUUUCUAUCUCUCCAAACUCGAUGUCACUACAUACUGGAGGGAGGUAGAGUACUAUGUAUAUAUAGCUAUGUAGCCUUUUUAUAUUAACCCCGUUGUAUAAAGGGUUUUUUGCAUAUUCCCUGCACUUGUACGUGUGUGUGUGUGUGUGUGUGUGUUUUGAACCUGAAAUAGUAGGAGCACCUCCUACUGCAAUUAAAUUAAAAGAAUAUAAGUCUCCAAAUUACAUGGUUAUUUACAAUCACCCCAUUUUGGGGUGAGGAGGGGUGGUGGUCUAGUACAAGGUGUCUAGUAGUGCAGGGAUGAGAUGUUUGUGUUUCUCCUUAACCCUAUAGGUUAGGAGAGAGUAGUCAUCUUUGAAUCUUUUCAGCCAGGAGUCUCUGGAUGGUGCUAUCCUUCUGAAAUGUUUGUUAUUUCGUUACUUCCAAAUGCUCCAGGCUGCUAGGAGAAAAGCUUUCAUAAACAGCGGCCGGGCCCAUGUCUCCUUGGCAAUCACAAUAUUUUCCAGUCGGGUCCCUCCUUGUUGCCAUGAUAAGCUCAGGCUGGCCCAGCAGAGUUGGCUGAAAUGGCAUUCGAAGAACAAAUGCUCAAUGGUCUCAUCAAUGUGCUGGCCACACAGGAUGCAAUCAUGAUCAUCUCCAAUGUUGUAGUGUCUUCUCCUAAGCAUGUUUCUUGUGUUUAAGCGAUCAGAGAGAAGCAGCCAUCCAAAUACUUUGAUCUUCAUGGUUAAUUUAGAUUUCCACAACCAUCGAAAGGAUUGAUGCGCAACUGUGUCUCUGAAGUAGAAGGAGUAGUAUUUAUGUGUCGUGAAGUUGGCAGACCCCCAAACAUGUCCACUGGUCAUGAUCUAGGUGGCUAUCGGAGAGGGUUACUGUUGCGGUGACCAAUUGCAUCUGCCUGACCUCUGCAUGCGCUUGAGGAGAUAGUGGUAGAUGGAACGCCUCUCCAAGAGACGUGAUGCUCAAGAAAUCCCGAACCGAUAUAUCUUCGUUAUUUGAGAAGGAAAAUGCUCUCGGGUGGGUUUCUGAUAAAAUUUGUUCUCCCCAAAGAUCUUUCCAAAAUAGCACCGUGUCUCCACGAAGUAUUUGUGCUUGUGUGAUCCCUCGGAAUAUGGGCAUUAGAUUGGAGACAUCUCUCCACCAGAAUGAGCCGCAAACAUCCAUGGCAUGAGGUAUCUUAUUUUCAUAGUAUGUGGUCCAGAUGAGCUCCACCCAAGGCAAAUCAAAGUGGUUGUAAAAUUUAUGUAGAUACUUCAAGAGGAGCGCAUCCCCUUGAAUUCUAACAGUGGCCCCAUGGGAAUACAAGUUGGAUAUUCCUAACAGUGGCAUCAGCCCUGCUCGGGAGUUGCUCUGGGCUGGACUUCUGCGUCGUUGUGGUGAGACUUACAGUGGUGCGGAACUUGGCGGCGGUGCGGUAGGGUAGCAUGGUGGUGGACAUGAUUUGAGAAAGAUUUGGUCAGAUGCUCAGAGGUGGACCACAAUGUCUCGUUGUGCGUGUAAGUGGGCAUGCGGCGAUGGGACUGGGCGCGGAGGGCGAUGCUGGACUAAGGGCGGAGGUUGUGGUGGCGGUAUGACGUCACGCCCCAGCGUUCUCGGGCAUGUGGUUCCGGUGUUGCGGCGUGUGGGCUCCCUUCACUGACACAAGGCAUCUUGGCACUGAUGUGUCGUCUUUCAGAGCGGCGCCGAUGACCACAAGCAUGACAUCACACGAACUCGUCUGAGCCAAGCCAGUAGGCUAUGCCGGAGCUUGCUCGACAGCAGGCAAUGACAGUCAUCGAGGUGUGCCCCCGCCAGUCCAUGGGAUUGAGUGGGGAUCUAGGCAUGGACGCCUCCUAUUGUGGAGGCGUGGGCGCGGACUUGAUGGCUGAUGUCAGGCUAGGAGUGGAAGGAGAUGCCUUUUGUUCUUCCUAUCGUGGUUGGUGUGCGGAGAUGUGGACAGUUGUGGUGGGGCCUCGGGUCUCGGAUGCCGGUGUGGCGGUCCACAUGGUUGGAUUUCGGCGGGCGUCAUAGCGUCGGUGGUAACUAUGUCGCUUGGCCGUGUGGGCGACGAGGGGUGUAGUGGCGGGUGGCUUGGUCUUCUCUGUUGCUGGUAGUUGCGGCGUCCAGAUCCGGAUCUAGAGGUAUGUGCUCGUCGCGGUUGUCUUAGUUGUCUUAUGGUGGCAUGGGUGAGCUGCAAAGUGAGAGCUUUGCGCUUUGCCGCCGACGGUGGCAACGCCCGUCGGUGCCGCUCUCCUCUUGAGGACGUCGUUGUAGAUCUCCUCUUCAUGUCAGGUUCCGGUGAAUACCCUUGUCCGCCUCGGACUCGAUAGCGGCGACGUUUAGCGUUGUUUAUUUUCAGAGAGCGUUGUUGUGGAGCUUAGGUAUCCUAAGUCGUGUCGUUAUGUUGUAUUCAGAACGACCUGUGGUAUAUCUCGGCAAUGUAGUCGCGUGUAUUUUUCUUGUUCAACUAUCCCGAGAUUUGCUUCGUAUGAGAGCUUUCAUUCUAACUUGCAUCGUUUGGUCACGUACGGUUUGUGUUUUAUCAACAGAGCGGGGCGUGCUUGUUUCGUGAAGUUGUGUCGAAGGGUGGGCAGGCACAAAAGGAGUGGCAUCUCUACUUCUGCACAUGUAUUUGCAUAGGUCAGGUGAUUUUAGUGUAAAGAAGGAUUUCUGGUCUACAAAUUGGAUUGGUUCAGUUAAUUAAGCCAAAAAAGCCGCCCACUAGGUCGUAUUAAACUCUAUCAACGCAAGACAUCGACAGCUUCCUCAGGCUGUUUAACUUGAUGGCCGGCCAGAUUUUUCUGAAGCCCAGUUGGCCGGCCAGAUUCGUUCCGGCAUCUGUCUGGCUGCUGCCCCUCCGUCCAGACGACAGUUCCAUGCUGCUGCUGCGCUAACAGGUACACACGAGAAUGCAGAUUUGGUUCCAGUAUUUGUCUGGCUGCUGCCUCUCUACGUCCACACGACAGUCCCAGGCUGCUGCUGCGCUAUCAGGAUAUGCAAGAAUACAGUGUACAAACAGGACCAUUUCUUCCCGACGGAACGAAGCUGCGUAGCAAGCAAAGGAACUCCAGGCAAUCAUCAUAAGAAGAGAGUCAGGACGAACAAAACGCCAAGGGAAUUUCAAUCUAGGCCAUAUGCCUCGGUUUUUCAAAAUAUUUGAAAAUAGAUGAAAUCAAGCGUAGUCGUGGGGGUUCUCGCCUCUUUCUGCAACAGGAUGUUUCCACGGAAGGAAACUUGGCGCUCUGGGGUGCGACCGUGCGAGCACACCCUAUAUGUGCCAAAUAAUUUAAUAAUUGCAAAAAAAAUUUAAAAAAUCAUAUUUUUUAAUCAAAUAUGAUCAAGUAUGUAUUUGUAUAAAGAAAUUGGUCAAGGAAUGAUUCGCAUUGACUAGGAAAAAACAAAUUUAGUACGACAAAGUAGCAUGAAUAGUAUUUGUAUAGUGUUUCGCUUUUUUUCGCUCAGAAUAUUGUGAAAGUUAUUCCUUGGCGAAUCUAUUUAUAUGAGUACAACAUUUGAUCAUAUUUGAUUUCAGAAAAGAUUUGGAUUUUUUUAUUUUUUUAUAAUUACUAAAUAGUUUUCGCAUAUAGGGCGCACUCGGGGUUGACGCAAGGAAGCAAGGGUAAAAUCAUCAACAAGCAAAGGACAAGACCGAUGACUAAGUCGACUUCUUCUACUUCACUAUCUUCUAUACAAGUUUAAAAAAAGAGUAAGAUUCAUUUUCCUGCCAACGGACACAGUUCUGCCCCGCCCUUCGUCCAACCUCCCGUUUCACUCGUCAAGCCCUCCCCAACCCGCCACUCUCCCACGUGGUUAUAUCAUGUAAAAAAACCACAAAACACUUCGGAGCCUGCCCAACCGAACUCUCCAUGACUCUCUUCACACUAGCACUCCAUAAAACAUAACCUUAUUCCCUCCUAAUUUAGUCGUUUCCGCAGUCAACAAUGCAUUCGGCACCGCCACCCACUCUCCCACAUCUAGCGAGUGAUAGGAGAGCCGACGUCCUCCGGUACCAACGCCACGCACUCGCGCUCGCCAACUAACGCCACACUAGUGAGCCACCUACGCGGAUGAUCCAGCGAUUCGACACUGCUGCCUCGAGCUACUUCGCCGACGACAUCGAGGAGGGUGUGGAGCUCCUAGCCUCCCUAGGCCGCCACCAUGGGGCCCGUCUCGUUGGGACACCACAGAGUCGUCCCGGCGAGCGCCGUCCUCACUACCAUUCCUCUGCCGCUACCCACACCCUGUGUCACCCACAUCAAUUGCCCUACGUAGUCUGUUCAUGCCCUGAAAUGGAACCACAUUCAAUCUUAUCAUGUAUAUGUGCAGUAAUCUCAAAAUUAUACUNNNNNNNNNNNNNNNNNNNNNNNNNNNNNNNNNNNNNNNNNNNNNNNNNNNNNNNNNNNNNNNNNNNNNNNNNNNNNNNNNNNNNNNNNNNNNNNNNNNNNNNNNNNNNNNNNNNNNNNNNNNNNNNNNNNNNNNNNNNNNNNNNNNNNNNNNNNNNNNNNNNNNNNNNNNNNNNNNNNNNNNNNNNNNNNNNNNNNNNNNNNNNNNNNNNNNNNNNNNNNNNNNNNNNNNNNNNNNNNNNNNNCGCUGGAGGGGCCCAACGUGUUCAUCAUCCUAGCCCUGUGUUCAGGAAGGCCGAGAUGAACAAGGACUACCUUUUCAAGAUCACUUGCAUGCCUCAGUUUUUUCGUCCCCCCUCUAUCUACCAUUCUUCAUUCCAUUGAUUGAUUAUUGUUACUGUGAACAUGUUAGAUAAUAUUUAUGGAUAUUUCAUCCUUCUAACCAUGAUCCAUGUUGGUUAAUUUCUCAAGCAGGUAUUUAGGUCUGUGAGGCGAAACAAAAUGAGUUCUACAAUUAGUUUUCUUAUGGAUGGGUGAGAUCUUUUUUCCCUUUUCAUUAUUACAUGUUUGUGGCGCUUGCUUUGAUGUUGAUAAUGACAUGCUUCAAUUCCAAGUUACAUGAUUGUUCUUGAUUGUACGUUUCGGAAAAAAGAGUUAUUGGUUUAUUUUGAAGUGACAAAAACGGACUCAUCUCUUCCUAUCAGUCAGUCAUUUGGGUUAGUUGGCUGAUAUGUAUAUCUUCUCAUACAUGACACCCAAUUUUCAGGAAUGUUGUUCUAUAUGCAAUACAUCAAAGAGCCAAUGUAAAGAAGUCAAUAUUCAAGAAUGAGCAUGAAUCUAAACUGAUGUUGUUUGUGAUUACAUUGAUGAUAUAUACCUCAUAUAUGUUUAUUACUUAAGGAUUGUUCUUUUGUAUUUCAUUUGCUAGGCUCACUUCAAUUUCUACUAAGUUACAGGAAAGCACAGUUGCACAUGUAUUUCAUUUUCUCUACUACUUAACAAAAGAGUAAGGUUAUUUUCCUGCCAAAAACUGUGUUCUGCCCUCCCCUUCGUCCAACCUCCCAUUUUUCCAUCAACCCUCUCUGACCUGUCGCUCUCCCACGUGGUUUUCUCCUGCAAAAAAACCCACAAAAACACUCUGGAGCAUGCCCGACCGGACUCUACAUGACUCUCUCCGCACAUGCGCUCCAAUCCUAACCUUAUUCCCUCUGAGUUUAGCCUCCACGGUGAACAACACAUUCAGCACUGGCACCCCCUCUCUCACAUAUCGGGGGCGAUAGGGGAGUCUGCAUUCUCUAGCGUUGAUGUUUCUUAUUCACCCCCGCCAACAGAUGCCGCACCAAUAAGGCACCGACUCGAGGCCGCCUCCACGGGACUGGUCCUCACUACUUAUGGCUUCUUGCCAUUAGCCAUACCCGGUGUCAAUUGCAUCAAUUGCCCCACGAUGGUCUAUUUGUACCCCAAAAUGCAACCGCGUUCACUCCUCUCAUGUAUAUGUGUACUUGUGUAGUAGUCUCAAAAAUGUGUUGUAGGUGAAGGGAUUCAUGGAUUGCGACCAGCUCGGGAGGGGGGACGCUGCAGGGUCCCGACAUGUUCAUCAUCCCGUCCGUGGUCUUUAGGAAGUCCGGCAUGACCAAGUCCCCCCUCUAUCUAUGAUUAUUUAUUCCAUGGACUGGUUAUUUUUGCUGCGUACAUGUUAGAUGAUAACUAUUGAUAUUUCCUCCUGCUAACCAUGCUCCAUGUUGGUUAAUUUCUCAAGCAAGUAUUUAGGUUUGUGAAGAAGAACAAAAUGAGUUCUACAAUUUUCUUUCUUAUGGACGAGUGAGUUCUUUUUACCCUUUCUGUUAUUACAUGUUUGCGGUGCUUGCUUUGAUGUCAAUAAUGAUACCCUUCAAUCCCAAUUUACAUGAUACUUCUUCAUUUAUUUUGAGGUGAGAAAACAAAUUCCUCUUCAUAUCAAAUCAGUCUUUUGGGAUAGUUAUUUGGUAGGUAUAACUUUUUUUGCGGAAAUAACUUCCGAUCUAUUCAUCAAUUGUCAAGGUAGUACAAAGGACACCAGAAGUAAAAAAUACAUCUAGGUCCGUAGACCACCUAGCGAUGAUUACUUGCACUGGAGCGAGCUGAAGGCAUGCCGCCGUCUUCGCCCCUCCCUCAUUGGAGCCGGGCAAACCUUGUUGUAGUAGAUAGUCGGAAAGUCGUCAUGCUAAGGCCCCAUAGGACCAGCGCACCAGAACAGCAUCCGCCGCCGAUGAAGAGAAGCGUAGAUCAGAAGGAUCCAAUCUGUAGACGCAUGAACACAGACGGACGAAGAUAAGAUCCACAUGGAUCCACCGAAGACAAACACCGACCGAAUCCCAUAAGAUUCGCAGGAGACAAACCUCCACACGCCCUCCAACGAUGAUAGAAACACCAUUGAAACGGGUACAAGGUGGGGAGAACCUUAUUCCAUCAACAGAGAGCCGCCGCCUCGCCUCUCUGAGCAGGACACAAACCCUACAAAACUCAAAAGUGUAUGAAAAUCCGGCGGCAAGGGCCGGGAUCCACCAUGCCUCCAUAGCCCUAAGACCAUAGAAGACGAGGUAGAUCGGCGGCAGCACCGACGGGAGGCACAAGAAACCCUAGCCAAGGGGUCCUCUUUUCUUCCGUGGAAGAAAGAAAACUAUUAGCAAAGGCACGUAUUCCUUUUGAUAGGUAUAACUUAACAUACACGACAACUCAUUUUGAGGAAUGUUCUUCUGUAUGCAAUACAUCAAUGAGACAAUGUUAAUAAGUCAAUAUUCGAGAUUGAGUAUGAAUCUAAACCGAUGUUGUUUUGAUUACGUUGAGGGAUACAUACCUGAUAUAUGUUUAUUAUCUUCAAAAAUGUUCUUUUGUAUUUCAUUUGCAAGGCUCACAUCAAUUUUAUCUAAGUUACUGGAAAGCAUAGUUGCACAUGUAUUUCAUUUGCCAGGCUACCACCAAUUUCUUCUAAGUUAGAGGAAACCAUAGUUGCAUCUGGGCAGUGGCGAAUUAGAGAUUUUAUUGAUCUGUGGCUCGAUUACCUUCAUAAUCUUCUUAUGGUAGUAUGUUAAAAAAUACGUCUUGUCAAUUGGUGCUCAUUAAGGAGCCAUGGAACCAUAUUAAUAUGGUAUCUUAAAUAUUUUGUUACAUUGUUUGUUAUACUGUAACAUCCCGAUUUUUUGGAUUGUUUAGGAAACAGUUUUCACAAAAGUAGGGUCAGAAAAUUUUGUUUGUUAUUUAUUAAUAAAAGCUUAAAUUGAGUUUUUGUAAAUUUGGAGUAUGUAAUUUGGACUAAUGCCAACUAAAAUUAAAUUUGAGUAUUUCUCUUUUCUUUUAGCGGGGUUUUAUUUUUCGUCUUCAGCAUAUUUAAAUAUGUGGGUCUGCAUUUUCUUGGGUUUCUCUAUUCAUUUGAUAUUUGUUUGAGCUUCUAAUAAUGCUCUGUAAUUUCCUAAAAGGAAAGUCAAUUUCUUUUCCAUCUGUCAAACACCAGAUAGAAUUUUCAAGUCCUAAUCCGUCUCUUUCUUUUCUGUGUGUAUCUUAUUUUCUCUUGUCCACCAAAUAGCCCAAUUCCAGGGCACCCUAUCUCGCCUUCAGCUAGACGGGAGGAACCCCUCGCUGAAGUGUGACUCGAUUGGGCCGGCCCGGGCGUGCAGGAACAUUCAGCCUCGUGGUUUUUUACAUUUUUUGUUUUUGUUUUUUGCUUUCUGUUUUUAUGUUUGUUUAUACUUCCAAAUAUACUAAAAAUUUAUAUCACAAAAAUAACUCUAAAAUUUGAGAAAUGUUAAAUGUGUAUAAAUAAAAUGUUUAUUCACGUAUACAAAAAUUUUGUUUGAAACAAUUUAUUCCUGUACUUAAAAAAUGUUUAUCAAGUAUUUGAAAAAAUGGUGAACAAGUGUUUGAAAAAUGUUAAUUAGGCAUUUGGAAAAUGUUAAAUGUGCAUAGAAAAAUUUUUGACCAUGUGUUUGAAAAAAGAUGAUUUUUUUAUCAUGUAUGUAAAAAUGUUAAUCAAGCAAUUAAAAAAAUGUUGAAAAAGUAUUUUCAAAUAAUCAAGCAUUUGAAGAAUGUUAAAUGUGUACAGAAAAAAUGAUGUCCAUUUAUUUAAAAUGAUGAAUUGUUUUACCAUGUAUGUAAAAAUGAUAAUAAAAUAUUUAAAAAAUGUUGAAAAAGUAUUUUCAAAUUUUUAACCAAGCAUUUACAAAAAUCUUGAACAAUUAUUUAAAUAAUGUUAAUCAAGCAUUUGGAAAAUGUUAAAUAUGUACUCCCUCCACACGAAAAAGCUUCUCCCUCAAAUGGAUGUAUCUAGCAUCAAGUUAGUGCUAGAUACAUCCAUUUGAGAGACAAGCUUGGGACAAGCUUUUUUGGACGGAGGGGGUAUAGUAAAAAUGUUUAUCAUGUAUUAAAAAUAUGAUGAAAAAUUGGAUCAUGUAUACACAAGUAUAUAUGAAAAAAUUGAAAAAUAUUAUUCAAACAUUUAAAUUUUUUAGAAGUGUAUAGAGAAAAUGUUGAUCAUGUGUUAAAAAUAUUAGUCUUGUAUUUGAAAAAUGUUAAUCAAGAAUUUGUAAAUGUUCAAAAGUUUUUAUAGAGAAAAUGUUAAUGGUGUAUUCAACAAAAUGUUAAUCUUGUAUUUGAAUAUGUGUACUGAAAAAAAUAUUGACCAUGUAUUAAAAAUGGUAAAUUUGUACUAGACAAAUGUUAAACAUGUAUUAGAGAUAUGUGUUUGAAAUAUACAGAAAAUGUAGAGUGAAAAUCAAAAGAAAUGUAUGAAAAAAAGAAAGAAAAAGGAAAAAAGGAGAAAAAUAGAAAAAACAAGAAAAGAAAGAAAAAAGGAAACAAAAAUCCGAUGAGAAGAGAGAAAGAAAGAAACAAAACCUAAGAAAAAAGAAAAAACCGAAUAAACAAAAAAUGAAAGAAAAAUGAAAGAAAAACAAUGGAAAAGAAAGAAAACAACAAAUAAAAACAGAGACAUAGCGGAGGAAAAACGGUGAAAAAAUAAAAUGAAAAAGACCUGAAAAAAGGAGAUGAACAUUGUGGAAACUCGGCUCAAUUCGACUUAAGUACUCCCACCCUUUCUAAUGUAUCAUCAACUCAUGCCAGGCGUAGUGACUAGCAGUGCCACCUAUUAAUUAGAAGUCAAGGGUACGAAUCCCCAUCACGUCCAUUUUAUUUUCUCUUUUACCUUAACCGUGUGUGCUAAUGGGCCGGCCUAAUUAUGGUUUACACUUCAGAGAGUGACCCUUCCAUCUCGUAUAAUGCGAGAUAUAGCUCUCGCGCCAAUUCCAUCUCUCGCUUUUAUUUUUAUUUUCUCUCUCUCUCUUUUCCUGGGCGCAACCCAACUCAUCUCUUUUUUUGGUUUAUUCCUCCAACCGAAUGGGCCUAGCUAAAAAAAUUCAUCAGUUUUGAAAAAAAAUUAUCAAAUUAGGAAAAAGUUCAUCAAUUUUUAAAAAGUUCAUCAAAUAAGAAAAAUGUUAACCGCUUAGAUAAAGAGUUCACUAUUUUUGAAAAAAUCCUCAAAUUCUAAAAACUUUGUGUAUUUUGAAUAAAAAAGGAAAAAAAGAAUAAAUAAAAUAAACCAAAAAUAUUUCGGGCAUUUAAGGAAACAAAAAGGAAAAUAAAACCAACAAGGAAAAGUUGCGCUUUAUUAUGGAUUGCAUUUUAAGAAUAAAGAAAAGGAAUCUAACACAUGAGGUUGGGUGGCCGACGUGGUUAGCACGUUCGGAGAAACAAAUGUGAGGACCGCGGUUCGAAUCACGGCUGCACAGUUUUUUGGCGUUUAAAACAGAGAAAAGGAUAGUAAAUGGGCUAGGUCGGAGUUGGGGUGUGUGCGCCAGGUUACAAAAUGAACUGGAAGGGACGCUUAAGGCGCCAAAUAGGAAACGCCCCUAUCGAGAGCCAAAUAGGAUUCCCCCAAAUGGAACCCAACGUUAUGCAACGCGCACCCCUCCUGUGUCGGGGUUCUUUAGUAGUCCAGCUCAUAACGGUACAUUGUUUCCUGGUUUGAUAUUGGUUUUGAGAAGUGCUGUCAGAUUUUUCUUUUGGUUUUAAUUGUUUUUCUAUUUUUUCUUAUUUUUAAUUAAUGAAUAUUUUUUAAAAAAUUAACAUCUUAAAAUUCAUUUGUUUCUUAAAAUUUUGAACAUUUUCAAAAUCUAUGAUAUUUCUGAACAUUUAUUUUUCAAAUUCUUGAAUAUUGUCAAACGCGUGACAUUUUUAUUUUGUAUUUUUUAUACCUUCCGAACAAUCUUCAAAAUUCAUGAUUUUUUUCAAAUUUUUAAUAUUUUAAAAAUUCACGAACUUUCUCAAACCUAUAAAAGAAAUGGAGAUGGUAGUGUUUUUACAGGCAACUGUUGGUUUCUCAAAGAAGCAGAGCAAAAGUAGACUAAGGCAUAAUCUAGUGGUCGAAAGGGGCUGAUACCUUUCCACACACCCAGGUACAUUCCAUGGUACUUGAAUUUUGGUUUUUUUGCACCAAUUAUAAUAUAGGGGCCCCCUUACAGUCAGGAAGAGGAAAAAAAGCAAGUGAAACUUGCGGCGAAGUAUGUGUAACAGUCGAGUGGUAGUGAUGGCUAUUGGGCCUAGCCCAUCCGAGCAAUUUAGCAGCAUUUGAUCGAUUAAUGUGUGAACUAGGAGAAGACUAACGAAGGAGCGCCUCUUUGCCGCAUUUUGUGACAAAUAUAUGCGUCUUCGCACAGAGCGCCCCUAUUGGGCCACCCCAUUGGGGUCAAACCCUUAGUGUAUGGUAGGGCACAAAAAUCCUAAAAAAAAGUAGUGUGCGAGCCAGGAUUCGGUCCGGAGAAUGUUUGUUGAGGUCGGAAAAUCGUUAGCCAAUCGAAUUGGCUAAUUGGUUGUGACAUAUGGGCAGCGGGAAAUAUAUAAAACAAAAGACAAGCAACGUAACUCAACACCACUCAAGGAUUUUAAGAAACACAUACAAUUGAUCAAAUUCCAAUUUCUUUCGAAAAUGCGAAUAAUUUUUGAAAACACGACCAAUCUUUAAAAAAAAUUGAACAAAAAAUUGAAAUUCCAAUUUUUUUUAAUUUGAAUAAAUUCUAAAAACACAAAAAAAAUUGAACCUCCAAUUUUUUUUUGAAAACAUGACCAAAUUUAUAAGUUCCGAACAAUUUUUGGAAACAUGAACAAAUUUGAAACCCUAAAUUUUUUUGAAAACACAAACUAAAUUUAAAAUUCCGAACAUUUUUUUUGAAAAUGUGAACAAUUGUUUAAAACCUGAACAAAAUUUUGUAACUCCAAACAUUUUUAGAUAUGAUUUUCUUUGCAUAUUCAGAAUAUUUUUUAACAUUGCGAACAAUUUUUUAAAAUGUGAACAAAAUUGUAAAAUUUUGAAAAAAAAUUAGAACGUGAACGAAAUUCCAAAACUCCAAACAUUUUUGAAAACAUGAAUAAAUUUUAAAGUUCCGUUCAUUUUUGGAAAUUCAGAACAAUUCAUAGAAAAUGUGAACAAAAUUUCGAAUUUCUCAACACCUUUUUGAAUUCUAAGAUUUGUUUUGAAAAAUAUCAACUUUUGAAAAUGCAAACGUUAUUUCAAAAAUAUGGGCCAACCCAAAGCCCUUUGAAAUAAUUUCCCUCGAAGUACUUGCUUUUUAUUUCCUUUCAUUGCUUUCUCGAGUUCGUGGGUUUCUUUCUCGAAGGUUUCAUUUGAUUUUCUUUCACUUUUUUUAUCUUGUUUUUCCUUUUUUCCCCUUAAAUUCGUGGAUGCUUCUAGAAUUUAUGAAUUUUUUCUUCAAUAGCAAUGAAACAUUUUUGCCUAAAUCGAUGAACCCUUUUUCAAAUUUGUGAGCAUUUUUUGAAACUGAUGAACUUUUGGUCAAAUUCAUGAACAUUUUUGUUCAAAAUCCAUGAUUUUUUUUUCAAAUUCAUGAACUUUUUUCACAAUCAAUGGACUUUUAAAAAAAUUGAUGAACCUUUCCAAUUUUAUUAAAAUUUGAAGAAAUAAUUAAUUUGUUCCAAUCGAUGAACUUUUUUUUGAAUAUAUGAACUUUUUUUGAGUUCGAUCAACUUUUUUAAUGCUGGUGAACUUUUUUUGCAUAAUUGAUGAAGUUUUUCAAUUCUGAUGAACAUUUUUAAAAACUACAUGAACUUUUUUAAUAUUUGAUGAACUUUAUUUAAUUGAUGUAAUUUUUUUAAAAUCCAUGAUUUUUAUGAAUUUAUGUAUUUUUUAUUAAUUCGUUUUUUUCUACAAAAUGUGAUGUAAUUUUUUAUUAAUUCGUUUUUUUCUACAAAAUGUGAUCUAGCGAACUAGGGCCUACGUGUGUUCGCCGGUGAUCUUCUCUAGCGCCUGAAGCGACGAAUAGGAGCUCCCAGCAGCAUUGCCACGGCCAGAAUAGAGAAGAGAAUCAAGAACAAGCAUAACAUAUCAUGACCUCCAGGAUAGAGUAGAGCACUAGUUUAAGUUUCCCAGGAUUCACACAUAUCUUUUUUCUGCUGACCAACAUAGCCCUUCGGCGAAUAACAAGAUCAAUCUACCAUCUAAUAUGAAUUGAUUUUCUCAAAAAACAAUCUACUAUGAAUUGAUUAGAUAGAGGCAUAUCCAUCUUGAUCAUAAUCUAUAGUAUCAUCCAUUCUGGUAUCGCCUAUCUACUUCAUCUAUCUUUUCAGGAAUCUUGCUAGGGUAUGCUACUAGAUCGUUUCUCUUCCCACUCAAUCUAGUUGAACCUUCAAGGGAAAACCUUUCAUAUCUGCACACACAAAAUUUUUGGUUGUUUGAUCAAGAGAGCAACUCAAGCUGCCAAGUAACCAAUUCAUCCCCUUUUUGUUAAUUGGCGCUCAAGGCACUCUUACCUGGGCCGACCCAUACCCUUUUAUUUUAUGUAAACUCCAAAAAUGGUGCAAACAGCCGGAUUCGAACUCACAAUGUCACCUUCAAUGGUGAGUGCACUAACCACCCGGCUAUCAAACCAGUUGUGAAACAAUUGUUGUUUAUUCCCUUUUAUUACUUUCUCCACUUCAUGGAUUUUUUUCUAGAAGUUUUUAUUCAGUUUUCUUUUGCCUUUUCCUUUUUCUUUUCCUUAAAUGCAUGGAUUCGUUUAGAAUUUAUGAACCUUUUCUUCAAAAUCAAUGAAACUUUUUUCAAAAAUCCAUGAACUUUCAUUCAAAUUCAUGACAUAUUUUUCAAAAUUGAUGAACUUUUAUUCAAGUUCAUGAACAUUUUUUUCCAAAAUCCAUGAGCUUUUAUUGAAAUUUGUGAGCUUUUUUCAAAAUUGAUGGAUUUUUUCAAAAUUGAUGUAUUUUACCAAUUUUAUAAAUAAAAUAAAAUUUGAUGAACUUUUAAAAAAUUGAUGAACUUUUUUCAAAAUCCUUGAACUUUUUUAAUUCAAUGAACUUUUUUUCAAUUCAGUGAAUUCUUUUAUGUUUAUGAACUAGUUUUCAAAAUUGAUGAACAUUUUUCUAUUUUGAUGAACUUUUUCUCGAAUUUGAUGAACUUUUUUUAAAAUUCAGUGAACUUUUUUGAAAUCGGUGAACUUUUUUUAUGUUCAUGAACUUUUUUUAAAAAUCCAUAAAUUUUUUGAAUUCAUAUUUUUUCAUAUUUUUGUGAUUUUAUAUUUUUGGCCAAAAUUCGGUCUAGCGGACCAGGAAGAAAAUGUGAAAUCUAAAUGGGCUGGUCCACCAGCAUCGACGCGUGGGCGCUAGGGAGCUUCCGUAGCGCGUGAAGCACUGAAUAGGAGCUCCCUGCCUCGGGUAUUGAUACAUUGUUUAAAAUACACACUGAACAAAGUUCUAAUAUACAAUGAACGUUUUUUCAUAUAUAAUGAACUUUUUUUAAUGUAGAGUGCACCUUUUUCUAAUAUAUCAUGAACUUUUCUCUAAUAUAUAUUGGACAUUUUUUGAAGUGGUGUUUGCGAAUUUGCAAAAGCAUUGAGAAAGCACAACGUUUAUUCAUGUUUUGGGGUGGCUAUCCUGACAUAUGGAUCUCAUCUUAGCAUAGACAAAGCUUCAUGCCGCAUUAAGUUUUGAAGUGGUGUGGCUUGGGGAAGACCAUAACGAGGGAAAUUUUGAGGAACAUGACACCGAACGUGUUGUGUAUACUGAUAUGGUGGUUAAUUCAUAUGAAUCAGUAGACUGUGGUGAUGGAGGGGACGUACUAGUAUGGAGGUGAUGAAAUGGUUGAAGUGUUGAAGAGAGAAAAGAUGAGUGAUCCAUGGAGACGUGACUAUUUGGCUGGAAGCCAGCUCUGAAUGACGUUUUUUCCGGCUGGAAGGGAUAUCAAACCUGGCAACAUCUUAGGGUGAGUUUGGUUCCUCUCAUUGGGUGGAACGUAAUGGGUCAGUUCUAUGAAGGUCCAUUCUCAUGUUUGGUUCUUCAAAGGUACCAGAAUCCACUGGUUCUAGGGAACGACAUAUUCACUGAUUAUUCGGAAUGAGGCAGUACCUCAAAAAUGAGCGGACCAUGCAGAACAAGCUCUCCUCUACUCGCACAACACAUUCCCUCUCUCGCACCUUCCCCUCUCUCAAUCUGAGCUGUGCCAGGCCAACCCACCUCCCUCCUUCCCACUGCCGUCUAUCCCUCGCCUCCCCAUCGUCUCCCCUCACCUCCCCAUCGCCUAUCCCUCUCCCAUGGUGGCUAGCAUCUCCCUCCCUUGUACUACGCUGCCUCUCCCUCUUCUCUUCCUCUCGAUCUGAAGAGGAGCAGAUGUGACUAGCGAGCGGUGAUACGUCUUCAACGUAUCUAUAAUUUUUUAUUGUUUCAUGUUGUUAUAUUAUCAUUCUUGGAUGUUUUACAAUCAUUUUAUAGCAACUUUAUAUCAUUUUUGGGACUAACCUAUUGACAUAGUGCCCCAUGCCCGUUGUUGUUUUUUGCUUGUUUUUUACUUCGCGUAAAAUCAAUACCAAACGGAGUCCAAACGCAGCGAAACUUUUUGGAGAAUUUUUCUAGGCCAGAAGACACAGGAUGGGCCAAAGAAGUACCAGAGGGUUGCCCCGAGGGGGGCACAACCCACCUCGGUGGCCUCCCGCACCGCCUCUUUGCUCCGUAAAUACCUCAAUAUUCCAGAAACCCUAGGGGAGUCGACGAAAAUCAAUUCCAGACGCCGCAAGUUCCAGAACCACCAGAUCCAAUCUAGACACCAUCACGGAGGGGUUCAUCCUCCUCAUUGGUGCCUCUCCGAUGAUGCGUGAGUAGUUCAUUGUAGACCUACGGGUCCGUAGUUAGUAGCUAGAUGGCCUCCUCUCUCUCUUUUGAUUCUCAAUACAAUGGUCUCUUGGAGAUCUAUUUGAUGUAACUCUUUUUGCGGUGUGUUUGUUGGGAUCUGAUGAACUUUGAGUUUAUGAUCAGAUCUAUGUUUUUAUCCAUGAAAAUUAUUUGAGUCUUUUGAUCUCUUAUAUGCGUGAUUACUUAUAGCCUCGUAUUUCUUCUUCGAAUCUUUGGUUUAGUUAGGCCGACUAGAUCGAUUUUUAUUGCCAUGGGAAGAGGUGCUUUGUGAUGGGUUCGAUCUUACGGUGCUUGAUCCCAGUGACAGAAGGGGAAACGACACGUAUGUAUCAUUGCCAUUAAGGAUGACAAGAUGGGGUCUAAUUCCUACAUGAAUAGAUCUUGUCUACAUCAUGUCAUCGUUCUUAUUGCAUUACUCCGUUUCUUCAUGAACUUAAUACACUAGAUCCAUGCUGGAUAGCGGACGAUGUGCGGAGUAAUAGUAGUAAAUGCAGGCAGGAGUCGGUCUACUAGUCUUGAACGUGAUGCCUAUAUAGUGAUCAUUGCUUGAACAUCGUCAUGAUUAUUUAAAGUUCUAUCAAUUGCCCAACACUAAUUUAUUUACCCACCAUAUGCUAUUUUUCUUGAGAGAAGCCACGAGUGAAAUCUAAGGCCUCGGGGUCUCUUCUUUAUCAUAUUCGCCUUCAAGAUAUAUUUUUAUUCGCUUUUACUUCCAGAUCUAUAUUUUCAAAAACCCAAAAAUACCUUGUUGCACUUUAUUUUAUUUUGCGUUUAUUCAAGAUCUAUUUAUCCAAUCUAUCAUAUUUUUAUCCUGUCAACUUGACAAUUCCUGGCACCGUUACUGAAAGGGAUUGACAACCCCUUUAACAUGUCAGGGUGCAAGUCUUUGUUCUUUGUGUGCAGGUGUCGUUUACGUAGUGUUGUAUAUAUAUAUAUGACCAAUAUAGCAUAUCCAACAUAUAUUACCAAUAGUCAUGAACACAUAUAUAUCCAACACAUAUCCAUCACAAAAUUAAAGAAAAUGUUCAGUUAAUAUCAAGUGCAGCACUGAGUCUCAACAAGAGCGAGAGAAGUGCAGCCAGAAGUUUCAUUUUAAAACACACAAGGGGCGCUUUUUCUGCAGCUCAAUGACUUGAUAGAUUCUUCUAAAUUGCUGCAGAUAACUAUUAAUGGUGUGAGGCUACAUUGUUAGUAUACACAUGCACACAAGAUCAUCAGAUUCAGUUUCAGUUUUACAAGAUUACAGUACUAUAUCCUAGGUGUUACAGACUGGCUGUAUAUGUCCAAGUUUGCAUAUAGAUUAAAAAAACAGCAGGUGAAUAAUAUUGGUUUGGAUGCAUGUUAAUGAUGUUAACAACCAACGUAUCAUCUAUUGGCUAGUACUCCCUCCGUUCCUAAAUACUUGUCUACAUACAUCCGUAUAUGAUAAUACAUCCGUAUAUGAUAGUCAUUUGAAAUGCCUAGAAAGACAAGUAUUUAGGAACGGAGGGAGUACAAUAGACAUACUAAUAGUAACUAGCUCGGUAUAUCACAUGUUUAAUAGUUACUCCCUCCGUUCCUAAAUAUAAGUCUUUCUAGUGGUUCCACUAGGUGGACUACAUACGGAGCAAAUUGAAUGAAUCUACACUUAAAAUACAUAUAUAUACAUCCGUAUGUGGUUUAUAGUGGAAUCUCUACAGAGACUUAUAUUUAGGAACGGAGGGAGUACAACUUACUUGAGCUACAUAUCUGGCAUGCAUGUUUUGACUUCCAACGUAAAUAUAGUGAUCCAAAUUCUAUAACUUGUACAGAAAAAUAUUAUCUCCCUCUUAACAGAGACAAGAGGGUCACAUUUAUACUGCACGCACAGUAGUGUGCACGCAUGUACCAGUACCGGUUAAAAUGCGUGUGUGUAAGCAUAUGCCAACAACCUGUGUGUUAUUCAACCAAGGCAGAUGUCGACAACCUGCGAACUAUCAUAUAGGAUACCUAUGUAGCAACACCAGGCAACACACAGUCCAGCAGCAAUAAAAAAAAUACCCGGCAGAGAGAAGGUAGAUAUAUUCCUAAGUUAUGAUGCUGACAGUUGCAAUGUUUUACAAUUUGUAAACUGCAUAAAACAGCGCCGAAUUAGAAUUAGCUGCAACGGAUUAGACUGAUAUAUGUGAUAUUCUAUGUAACAAACCCGUUGGGUAGAUGCUCUGUGCAAAAUCAGUACCAAUAGUUGGUAGUUUGUCCAGUCUCCUCCGCCAAACACAACAUGAAAAUUACCUCCUCGUAUAGAAAUAGAACAGUGGAUAGGCAAAGCCCCGCCGAAUCAGAACAGUUGCACACUGUGGCAUAUAUCCAGGAAUAAGAAAAUACGUAGCAUACGAGAAACUGAUGGGCGAUAAUGCAGAUUCCGAUUCCACACCCACUCAUGGAGCGAAACUUGCAGGCAACUUCGGGCUAGCAGACGCCGCCCGCCUUGUUCCUGGCCACUUGCCUUCGGUCUGUGCCAUCGACACGCGAGAGGAACAUCCGAACAUACAUGCACGGCAGCCAUCGGCUGACCUUGUGAGCCAAGCACUCGAGCCCCGGCUCAGCCACGCAACCUCUGAUUCCAAGUCCAACGUAUGUGGAGAAGACUAGAGUUCAGCUCAGUGCAUCUAUCCAUCUACACGCGUCUGGCCGGGACGGGUUUCUGGAGGCCGGACGGGAGAGGCCCCACGUUUCCUGGCAACAAAGCGGUGGCUGCGGCGGCGCAGAACAAAUCCUCGGAGCACCUCCGCCUCAGUUGGAACAAACAGUGCUGAACAUCACAUAUACCAUGAGGAGCCCUUCAUUCCUUCCUUCCUUCCUUGUAGGUGGCGCACCUGACCUGCGCGCAUCAGGGAGUUGCCAUGUCCAUGGAGAUGGCUGCCAUUGCCGUGGNNNNNNNNNNNNNNNNNNNNNNNNNNNNNNNNNNNNNNNNNNNNNNNNNNNNNNNNNNNNNNNNNNNNNNNNNNNNNNNNNNNNNNNNNNNNNNNNNNNNNNNNNNNNNNNNNNNNNNNNNNNNNNNNNNNNNNNNNNNNNNNNNNNNNNNNNNNNNNNNNNNNNNNNNNNNNNNNNNNNNNNNNNNNNNNNNNNNNNNNNNNNNNNNNNNNNNNNNNNNNNNNNNNNNNNNNNNNNNNNNNNNNNNNNNNNNNNNNNNNNNNNNNNNNNNNNNNNNNNNNNNNNAAGGGCGGAGUCCUCCCCCCCUCCCCCGCGCGAGGAAGAGCAGAGGAAGUGUGUUCCGCCUCGCCGGAGUUUACCCGCCGCGCGCGUCCGCCCCGCAGCCAUCGCCCAUCGGGGUGCAGAAGCACCAUCCACGAGGCGGAACCGCCCGUGGGACUUGCGGUGGGCGUCAAAGAGGGCGGAGCACAGUCGCCGCUGCCGCGCCGGAGUUGGUGGGGACGCCACCCUCGAAACCCUAGCCAUGGGAAGGGGUCGGGGAUGAGCUCCCGGGGCCGCGAGAGGCGGAUCUGGCCGGAAGGAAGGGAAGAGCGGAGGCAGGGGAGCUCGGAUCUGUGCUGCGCGCCGGCGAGGCCGCCGGAACAUGCCGGAAUCGAGCGGCGUAGGUGGCGGCGGCGACGGUUUCGGGGGGAGGGAGAGACGAGCGAGAGAGAGAGGGUGGGAGAGGCGUGCGAAUGUGGGAUGGAGAGGUGGGGCCGUUGGAGAGGUGCUGGCAGACGGCAAAGAGUUGAGUGGGGUCCAGUGGACACCGGCGCUGUAACGGUCCACCAGCCCCCAUCUCUUUUGACUGAUGGCAACCAGGUUCUUUGUCACCGGCGCUGUAACGGUCCACUAGCCCCAUCUCUUUUGACUGAUGGCAACCAGGUUCUUUGUCGUCUGUUUUUUGUAAGCAGAUGAUAAAGAUCUUUUUUGCCGUCUGUUAGCAGACGGCAAAGAGCUGGCUGACGGCAAAGAUCCCAAUUCCAGUAGUGUAACUUCUUGAUUCUUCUCUGAACAUUGCUUCUUCCUGUACUCUUAGAAAUGUAUUGGUGCAAGAGAAAUAGUAGUAGAUAUAUUAAAUAUCAUAUAUCUGCCAUCCUUGUGUAUGUAUGUUAUCAAAAUGAACCAAGUUCAUUUUAUUCCAUCUCACGAACCAAACACUAAAACGUAAUCAUUCCAUUCUACCUAUUAUUUCUAGCCAAACGUAAAAAAAAAAAA
RNAcentral lists this long non-coding RNA (65159 nucleotides) under Triticum aestivum (bread wheat). Its description in RNAcentral is "long non-coding RNA (TAES_LNC013207)". The stretch from base 54103 to 54228 matches the Rfam family "MIR1120/MIR1122 microRNA precursor family". The record is from RNAcentral. Lineage: Eukaryota; Viridiplantae; Streptophyta; Magnoliopsida; Poales; Poaceae.